Molecule: long non-coding RNA, 69093 nt
Filed under: Vitis vinifera (wine grape)
Lineage: Eukaryota; Viridiplantae; Streptophyta; Magnoliopsida; Vitales; Vitaceae
Description: long non-coding RNA (VVIN_LNC005566)
Source: RNAcentral
UCCCGUUCAAAUUUGAAGUGGAAGGGGGAGGCAGCUAAAUUGAGGUUUCGAAGCUGUCUCGCAAGGCAAUUAUCCGGGUCCUGGACAAUGAUUUCCCGGGAUUUGUAAACUAUUUUCUUCACCAAGAGCUUUACCGAAACUGGCAGGUCUAGCAUGGUCUGAUUAUUCUCAGUGCAAGAUAACUCAAAUCCCGGAUAUCCACAGUGGUGUGGCUGGUGUUUUAGACGGAAAGGGAACCGGAUGAGUGGACCCUGGUCGCCACAACCAUUCGAUGUCAUGCACUCAUCUCGGCCCCCUCUCAUCUCCACAAACAAGGUCAGGAACAAGAACAAAAACAAACAGAGAUAUCGAUCCAUUUUUAUGGAAGGAAUUUGUGAUUUUUGCCAAGGACAGAAAUCUCUGGGAUAGGAAAGAAAGUGGAAAGGGAGAUACAAAUAUCGCGAGGAGAUUAGCCUGAAAAUUUAUAGAGAAGAAUUGUAGGAAGGAGGAUUACUGCGGUGGUACAUUUUACUAAUAGAUUUUCACUUUAUAACAAUGUCCUUUCACCCUGUAUCACCUGUAUAUGUUUAUUUUGUCUCUUUCAAAAUGUAAGUAUUCCAUUUAAUUUGUACAUAUAAACAUUUUUAUGUAAGUCACAUUACCUACUCUAAAAUUUAAUAAUACUUCAUUUAUUAUAAUUUAAAUCUAAAUGGACCGUCCUCCUUAAUUUAUUUUGUAUGUUUUUAAAAAAUCAAAUUUUGAUUUAAAGUAGGCAUUUGAUUAGAAGAAAUAAAACUUAAAAUACAAAUAAUAAAAAACUAUAUAAAACAUAUAGAAGUUUAAAUUAUUGGAAAAAUGGUAACUUAGCAUGAUACCGUACAUAAUUCAUUAUUUGUACAAGGUUAAUUUGGUAUACAUUAUGGCCAUGUCAAGGAAAGUUGCUAAUUCAGUAGUAAAAUCCUUUUUUAAAAAAAAAGAAUUAAUUAAUUUCAAACAUAGUGAUUCUUGAUUUUCAUUUUCAUUAUGCUAAUUCAGAAGCCUCUAAUGAUUGAACCUGAUCAUGAACAGAGGGUGGGUAUGCGUUUCUUCAAUGUGAAGUCAUCCACACAUAGAAAAAUCAAAGUAGUUGACUAUAACAGUCAAUAAGGCUCAUUUCACACUCUUUCACCUUGCAGGAAAAUUGGGACCGCAAGCCUGUUGGGGGAUAAUUUGAUAUCUCUCUCUUAAAUUAAACAUAAAACUGAAGAAUUCCAACUCCGUAUCUCUCUCAAAUGUUAUGAUGUUUAGAGAAGCAAAACUUGUGGCGUUAGCGCUCUUCCACACUUUCUUGCUUGCAAUUUGUGCUGCUAAUGGAAACCAGAUUUGCAGACCCUCUUCUUGUGGAGAGAUUCAAAACAUCAGCAACCCUUUCCGAUUGAAAGGUGAUCCAUCGGGGUGUGGUGAUCCUGACUAUGAAUUGGUCUGCGAAAACAAUCGUGCUAUGGUAAGCGGCCGGGAGGGUGAGAAAUACUAUGUUGCUGACAUCAACUACGAUCACUAUACCAUUCGGGUAGUGGAUCCUGGGGUCGAAAAGGGCAACUGUCUCUCAACUCCUCUCUAUUUCUUGACAAGAGAAAUCUCUGAUUAUUACGGUAUAUAUUAUUUGGAGCGGACGGGAAUGACAAGUACAGCAGUUUUAAUGAAUUGCGACCAGCCAAUAAGUGACGGCAGCUGCAUUCCUAUCACUCCUUGCAAUGCGACUUCAUCUUCCUCACAAGCAUAUGUUUAUGCACUAGUCGGAGGCGAGUCCAUGGAAGUAGGAGAUAUUAAGUAUUCAUGCACCAUCAGCAAGACUAUUAUUACUCAAUUCUUGAAGCCCGGCAAUCUUUCAAUGUCAGAUUUGCAAGAAAUGCUGCUUCUGGGGCUUGAACUUUCAUUCUUGAGCUUCCGCUGCAAAAGCGAAUGCAGGGUGAAAGGGCUAGAAUGCGACGUGAAUUAUGGCAGUCAUACCGUACAGUGCUACAAGCGUAUGAGCAAUGUUUAUUUUUAUCCAUUCAUGUAUUUAUUUGCUUGCAAGCAUAAGUCCCUUCAACAUGUUAUAACUUAUAACUAAUAAUAUUUGCUUAAUUGGUUUGAUCUUGCAGAUGGGUUCUUUUCCUAUCUGACAUGGUUCUUUCUCUAUAUCAGUGAGACUUUGGGAGUUUACUUUUAUUAUCUUUCAUGUUCAUUUUUACUUCUAUUAUCUUUCUCAUGUUAAAUUCAAUUUAUGUUGUUUUUCUGUUAACAGGAUAUAUAUUAGGUGUGGACCUUUUUAUCGAAUGUAAGGCUUAUUAGUUCCAUUUGUUGUAGAAGAAAGAAAGAGAUUUUUUAUUUUUUUUUAUUUUUUUAUUUUCAUUCCAUUAAUUUCAAGAUGGUACCUGUGGGCUGCUUAAUAUCAUUGUCUAGUUGGCAGUCACAUAGAGCAAAAUGCAAAAGCUUCUUCUACUUUUACCAUUGACCAUAUUUACUGAAUUUCAACCUGCAGACUUCGGAUAUCUUUCGGAUGGAGGCGUAACAACUUUACAAGGUAAGCUUUGAGAAGUUCUUUAUAAUAAUAAUAAAAAAUUAUUAAUUUGAUGAUAAAAUGAAAUGAUAAUUUAUUUUUGGAGUUCACGAUAAAUGAAUAAAAUAAAGAACUGAUAUUCUAAAUUACACAUUCAAUCCCACAAUAGUCAGUAUGUGGUAUGUGCUUAAUUUUAUUUUUAAUUUAAAUAUAUAUAAUAAAUUUCUAAAAAUUUUAAAAAUAUUAUAAGACAUUUGAGACUGAGGUCAUAGCUGAAUAAAGAAAAUAUAUUUAAAUUAAUCAAUAGUAUAAUAAAUGAUUGGAUUUUUCGUCCACUUAACUAAUAAUAACUAUGAGGAUGAUUAUUAUUAUUAAUAUUACCCUUUCUCUUCUAUCCUAUCCAUCUCUUCCUAAUUUUUAAUCAAAACCAAUAGCAGUAAUAAUAUUUCUCUUGUAUUUGUUUCUUGCUCAUUUUAAAUCUAUCAUAUGUAUGAAUCUUUCUUUUCUUGAACUUAAUAAUUUUUGUUCCUCUCAUAUUUGCAGCUGGGGCAGUCUUGAUAUUUCAACUCAUGGGUAAGGCUUCCAGAUCUCAAUAAGUAUAUAAUUGCACACGUCUUAUACCUCUUUUUGCCUGGCACUUUUGGAAUCCUUUCAUUCAAGAUAACAGCCGACAAUCAAGUUUGGCAAUGCAUUUGGUUGUACAAAAUGAAUCAUAAAUUGAAAUUCCAAUUUGUGAAAUUCAAAAAUUUUCUUUCAAAUAAAAUUAUUAUUAUUUUUAAAAAAAUUUGUGAUAUAUUUGAUUUCAAAUUAUUCCCAGAUUUUGUUAGAGUACAAGGAAAUUGAAGAAUAGAGUUGGAAUUUGGCAUCUAAUUUCAUUCCUUAAUUUUGUACAACAAAACAAAUUUUCUCAAUUGAUUAUUCCAUCCUUUAUGUAUAUCAUGUUGUCACCCAAAAGAAAAAGAGUCACAUAACUAUGUUUGAGUGGAAAUCCAAAACCUAAGAUAUGGGUGAAAUGACCAUUUCAAAACUAAUUCUAUUUGCUGGAUUUGAUGAUUGAAUGUGGUUAGAUGAUUAUAAAUCUUCCUCUGACGUUUUUCAUAUCUUUAACAUGUGAUUUAUAUGUAGCCAUGAUCAUUAUCGGACGAGCUGUGAUUGGUAUUUUGUGCCUCUUUGCCUAUUUAAUUUACAAGUUUCGACGGAGACACUUAUCAUUAGAUGAUGAUAUUGAAGAAUUCCUACAUAACUACCAAAAUCUUCGACCAAUCAAAUACACAUAUUCAGACAUAAAGAAGAUGACUUAUAAUUUUAAGCAUAAAUUAGGUCAAGGAGGUUUUGGUUUUGUGUACAAAGGAAAACUCCGAAGUGGCCGCAUUGUAGCUGUGAAAAUGUUGGUUAUGUCAAAGGCUAAUGGGCAAGAUUUUAUGAAUGAAGUUGCUACAAUUGGAAGAAUUCAUCAUGUUAAUGUGGUGAGACUUGUUGGAUUUUGCAUACAGAGAUCAAAAUGGGCCCUUAUAUAUGACUACAUGCCCAAUGGAUCUCUUGAUAAGUUUGUUUUUCUUGAUCAAGGCAACAACAUUCCUUUGAGUUGGGAAAGAUUAUACAAGAUUGCACUUGGAGUAGGAUGUGGGAUCGAAUACUUACAUCAAGGGUGUGAUAUGCAAAUUCUUCAUUUUGAUAUCAAGCCACACAACAUUCUUCUCGAUGAAGACUUCACACCAAAAGUUUCAGAUUUCGGUCUUGCAAAAUUAUACUCAACAGAUGAAAGUAUUGUAUCACUUACUGCUGCUAGAGGAACCUUGGGCUACAUUGCUCCUGAAUUGUUCUACAAAAACAUUGGAGGUGUAUCAUUUAAGGCUGAUGUUUAUAGUUUUGGAAUGUUGUUAUUGGAAAUGGUGGGAAAAAGGAAGAAUGUGAAUGCAUUUGCAAGGCAUUCAAGUCAAAUAUAUUUCCCAUCAUGGAUUUAUGAUAGAUAUGAUCAAGGAGAGGACAUGGAAAUGGGAGAUGCCACUGAGGAUGAAAAAAAGUAUGUAAGGAAAAUGGUGAUAGUUGCGCUAUGGUGUGUACAAAUGAAGCCUAUGGAUCGUCCUUCAAUGAGCAAAACAUUGGAGAUGCUUGAAGGAGAGAUUGAACUAUUGAAAAUGCCUCCUAAGCCAACUCUAUGGUCUAUCGAGAAUCAUGAGCAAUCCAUGGUAGAGGUACCAAUUUCAUCAUCCAAUUCCAUGGGUACAAUCAGCUUAAAUGGAAGGUAGUCCUACUCCAUCUAGUUGCUUAUUUUGUAAUCCAAUAAUAAUGUGUGAUUGUGUCUUAUGUGUAAGGUUUCUAUGAGAUCAGUGUAUGUAAUAAAAUAAAGUUUCUACUUCAAACAAUAGUUUGGUUUCUUGUAAGAAAGGUUAUGUACAAGUAAUAAAAUAUCAUUUUAGAUGUUUGAAUAGUGUUCUUGCUUGCCCGUAAAAUUAUCAAAGAAAAUCCUCCAUUUCCUUUGAAGUUCUAUUUUUUUUUCAAGUAUUCUACAAAAAUAAUUAUUAGGGUUGUAGAUGUUCAAGUAAGUUAUUUUGUUAUAACUUGUUGCUAGUAGUAAUCUGGGCUUUCAAGGAACAAUAGUGCCAAUUACAACAUUUCUUUUGUAAGUAAUUCCAUAUAGUUUUUGUUAGAGAAGUGUCCUUGGGCCCUCUAAAGGUUACAAUUACAUUCUUGGACAUUGGAUUGCACCAUUCCAUAUAUGGUUCUUCGAAUUAGUGGACACUUUGAUCUCUCCAUUCAUAGAUUUCUACUCCUUGUUGAAAUUUAAUUAGGACUUUGAUCUUACCCUUCACACUUUAAAUUAGGCUCUCAAAUCAAAAGUUGCAUUUUAAUAGAGAAAUAAUUAACAAAGAAGGAACAAUUUGAGAGCUCAAACCUUUCCUUGGUAUAUGUCUAUUACUAUAAUUCAUUAUGAGCAUAAAAUUGUAGGAGUAAAUAAAUAUUCAAAAUUUUAAAAUGGUCUCCUACAGCCAUCACACUCCUUCAAUAAUUUUUGUGGACCAUUGUACAUGUGGUCAAUUUUGAUGCUUUAUUUAUUGAAUAUGACUUUUCAAAUAAAACCAUCGAGUCAAUUUUCUUGACACUAAAAGUAAGUUGGUCCUUAUAUUUAUAGGACUCUAUUUCUUUUAUCUUUAGAAAUGUGAAAUGUGCUAGAUGUGAUAGGACCAUAAUACUACAUGAAUUAUGUCGAUAAUACCAUACAUUGUAUUUCAAUACGUAUCUAUGAGCAAUGUCUAUUUUAAUUUAUUUAUGAAUAUAUUUUGUUUGCUAGAUUUCCGAAGCUUCACUCCCAUUAAAUAUAGAAUAUGGGGAAUCUAGAUUUUCCAUGAAUUGGUCAAAACCUGUGUGUGGAAAUUGUGAAGCAAAAGGUGCGAAAUGCAGGCUGAAGAUGAGUAAUGACAUGUAAUCUGAAAUUGAGUGCAUAAAGAAGCCAGAAAAAGGUACGUGCUACACAAUAUUAGCCCAUGCCAUAUUCCUUUGCACCCUGAUAUGGAACCUCUUCUCCAAUAAAUGGGAAUCAAUAUUAUUAAUGUGCUGCAUUUGAGAUUGGGUACAAAUAGAAGAGGAUAAGAAUAUAUACAUAGAUCGUUCUAUAGCAUUCCAAUAUAUCCAAUAUAAUUCAGCCAUAGCAUGUGCUAUGAAACAAUACUAAAAGUCUGUUUGGUAAUAAUUUUAGCAAAUGCUUUUAGCAUGAAAAGUGACUUUUUUUUUUUUUUUAAAAAAAAAGGGUUUAACAAAAUUUAUGAAAUAUUUUUAAAAAUUUGAAAAAUUCAUUGUAGUAUUUAUUUUUUAAAGAAAUAAUUGAUAAGUGAUUCUCAUAAAAGCACUUUUAGAUGAGCUUAAGCACGCUUAAAAAGAGAGGACUUUGUGGAAAUCUAAACUUUACAGAUUAUAUUGAUGAAUCUCCAGAAUGAUAAGCGAGAAAAUGUGAAAUUCAGAUGAAAAAAUCAAAUGGGUGUGAAGGUGGUAAAGAGAUUAGGGGCACAGAGAUCUCUGCCAUAGCUGCGAGUGAUGGGGUCCGAGCUCAGAAUUGAGUAUUAAUUGGCUAGGCUGACCAAACUUUUUGAGUUUUACAAGUCAACCCAAUGAAAUGUGGAAACGUGGCAUGAGUGAGUUCAAGUUCGUUUCAUCAUCAAGUUUGUCGUUAGGCCGGAUGGCCCACAAUUGCUGACCGUUUUGUCUGCAUGAGCUGGCUUUGUCGACCCCUCUGCCUUCUCAGGCUGGUGAGGUACAAUUAUGAUCAUUCACCCCCGGGAUGGGAAUAGUACACGCGUCCCAAGUACACUAUAUGUAAUCAUCUUCCUUGUGCAAAUGACCUGGUAGACUUAAAACUUAAAUAAAAUCGAAAUAUUAAUAUAUAUAUAUAUAUACACAUACAUAACUAAGGUCAUAUUUAAUUGAUGGUCUGGAUUAGGAUAAAAUAUUAAUGAAAUCUAUAUGUGUAUGUGUAAUAGUUUAAUUUAUAUAAUGAUAUAAAUAUACUUUCUUUUUUCUUUUUGAAACCAAAAUUUUAUCUUUUUAAAUGAAAAUUUGUCAUCUCUUUACAAAUGUGUAAUGAGCUUGAUGUGAUAUAGGAAAUGUGUGAAUUUCUCAACCAUGGAUUUUUGGAGUCAAGUUAAUUUAUUGUACCGCGUGCUCGAUAGGCCAUAAGGGAUGCCAAUGUUGAAAAGUGAAUUAAGACAAAACGAAACUGACUUGCUUCUCACCAUCUUCCAUCUAGCUCAUCUACUUUCAAACAAAAAAUCCACCAUUAGGAAAUUCUCACAUUCUUCCAUCUAUCACAUCUGGCUCAUCUACUUUUCCAUGAAAAAUCCACCAUUAGGAAGAUCUCACCUUCCAUCUAUCACAUCUAGUUCAUCUACUUUUCUACAAAAAAAAAUCCACCAUUAAGAAGUUUUCACCCUUUCCCAUCUAUCUCAUUGCACAUAUCCAAAGGCAAAGGAAUCAAAUACUCCAAAUGUAAGGACAAACCUCAAUAGAAUGCCAAGAUUGACCAGGGGGUCUUCUUUUCAAAAGUCAUAUAUGUAUAGAUUCCAUCACCAUAAAUUAAUAGUGGCCCAUAUGUAAGAACAUCGAACCACACAAAAAAUAUGAAUUGUAGAGUUCACAUGUAUAUGAUUGACCAUAUGGAAGCAAAAACCGUCAUUGGAAUUACCAAAGAUGUAUGAUGCUACAAGGGGGUUUUCAUUUAAAAAAACAUAUAUGUAUAGAUUCCAUUACUAUAAAUUAAUAGUCUCCCAUGUGUAAGAACAUUGAGCCACACAAAAAUGUGAAUUGCAAUGAGUUCACAUGUAUAUGAUUGACCAUAUGAAAACAAAAAUAGUCAUUGGAAUUACCAAAGAUGUAUGAUGCUACAAGAGGGUCUUCAUUUCAAAAGACAUAUGUAUAGAUUCCAUCACUAUAAAUUAAUAGUGGGCCAUGUGUAUGAACAUUGAACCACACAAAAAUGUGAAUUGAAAUGAGUUCACAUGUGUAUGAUUGACCAUGUGGAAACAAAAUCAGUCAUUGGAAUUACAAAAAAUGUAUGAUGUUAACAUUUUUUCUUUUGGAGAGUCUAUGAAAAAUUUCCCAUUUUCUAUGCAAUUUUACUAGGGGAAUUCUUUGUUUACAACUUCAAGAUAUUGAAUAUUUUGAUUAUGUGCUUUUGGAAAUAUUCAUAAUGUAUCCAUUCACUGUGAUGGUGACUUUGACGAAAUUUUUUUUUUAUUAAAAUGAUUAAAAAAUGGUAGGCUCUUCACUAAGAUUGUAUUGGCAAUAGGUUGUACAAGCCUCAAGGAUUUUAAUCAUUUAUAGUAUAGCAUUUCCUUCAGACAAUUUACAUUUUUCAGUGUGGUUCAUUUGAUUUCAAUCAAUGUUGAAAUAGGGUCCACGAUGAUCGAUGGGAUGAUCAACCAGGCUAUAGUGAGUGAUAAUUCCAUACAGUGCUUUUAUAGCCCACCAUGCUAUGUAGUCAGUCAAGUAAAAAGCAUGAUAAUUAAGAAGCCAUGGUCUUGUUGCUUCUUGAUCAAGUAGAAAUGUUAACAUGUUACAUAGAGUAUCACUAUAGGUAGAAAUUGGCCUGUGUCGUUGUGUAUGGGCACCGUGAGGGAGGUGGUAAACUUACUGAACGAACCAUCCAUCAAUCAAAUCAAUCACAGCUCUGAUUUGUUUGCUCAAGUGACGGCCCAAUCACGCUAUUUUCUUUUUUUUUUACCAUGAAGUGGCAUUGGCUUGUCAAUUCAGAAUCUGAGUCACCGGCGUGGCAUGCUACCCCAUACAUGUACAACAGGUACUCCUAUAGUCACAGAACCACUACCAACGGUGGGGAAGUGGGCCUUUGUCACGGUCCAGAUUUCAAACAAUUUGCAAGCGAAGCAUAACAACAGACCAGCACAAAUAAAUAAAUAAAAAUAAAACAAAACAAAAAUGAAAUUCCAGAUGUGUACUUUGCAUGACUAGUAGUAUUCACCUAAUAAUGAUCACAAUAACAAAAGGAAUUUCAAUUGGACCAAAAUGCUCAUGCUCGAUGGCUGCGGAUGGGGGUUUUUGUGAGACGUAGUUUGGUCAUUUGGGUGGAUUAGAGAAUCUCAAAGGCCAACAACCGAAUGGACAAUCUACUAACUUUGUAACAACUAUUGUUGAUUGCAUGUGAAUCACGUGCAGGGCAAAUGGCAAACAUAAGGUUAGGGUCCCAUGUUACCUUGUCGCCCAAAACCCAGAAACCAAAAUCCCAAGGCUAGGGACCUUGGGUCCACCAGUGGAGUAAUGGCAUUUUGGAAUCGAAUAAAAUAGCCUAGUUGUGUAUGGGCUGAUCACUAGGCUUACCCCAUCAGCCUAUUAUUGGGCUUGCUCCUCUGGAAGGCAUUUUGGAACUAAAUGAACUCGUUUACAAGCCUUUUAUGUUAAUGUUUUGGCUGAAAUGGACUAAUGUUUAAAACAACAUCAUAUUAUUAAAUUUUCCAUUUUCACAACUCAAAUCAUACAAAUAAUUAAAUAAAUUACUUUUAUGAAGAGAUGACCAACUCAACUGAUUUUAUUUGAUUAUUGUCUUUUUAUCACCAACCCUUAGCAGAUUGCAUAGGCUAGCACCUAAACAAAAACAUGCUGGUCUAGUGAAUGUCUUUCAAUUGAUAGUUUAAGAAUUCAAGCCACCUUAUAGUAUAUGUCUAUCAUUAUUAUUCAUUUUUAGUGUAAAAUUGAAGGAGUGAAUAUAAAUUCCAUAAAAAAUCUUAGUUGAUCCCUUUCAAGCAUCAUAGUCCUUCAAUAAUUCCAAUAAGACUAUUGACGGUGACUAUUAUAGUGUCAUCAAUUGUAUAGUCCAUUAUACAUGUGCCAAUUUCAAACAAUAGCCUACCAAUGAAUUUUCUUACCAAUAAAUGGAUAUCUGUCCUCACCUUGGAAGACUUUAACAUCUUUGCAGGAAGACAUGUGAUUGCAGAAUAAUUUGCGACAAAUAAUCUUUUUUGUUUUGUCUUGCUUGACUAACCAAAUAAAAUAUUGAUUGAUCUUUAUUAUGAAGGUGCCUUGAUAGCUCCUUCAAGUAGCCAGGAAAGUUCGGUCUUUAAAAUUGCUUAGUUUGUACUAUCAUUGCAAGAAAAAGGUAAAUGUCAUUUAUCAUCUUCUUAUAAAUAUUAAGUAGAUGCAAAUUAUGAAAUUACAUAAAAUAAUGUCAUAUUUAAUUGAUGGUCUAGACUAGGAUAAAAUAUUAAUGAAAUCUAUAUGUGUGUGUGAUAUUUUAAUUUAUAUUAUCAUAUAAAUAUACAUUUUUUUUCUUUUUGAAACCAAAAUUUUAUCUUUUUAAAAUUAGAUUUUUAAUUUUUUUUUUAUUCAAAGUGAUUAACAUGAAAUAUUUCGAAAAGAAAUAUUUUAGAGAUCCAAUGAAUAUGAGAAAUAAAUUUACUAUCCAAAAUAUAAGUAUAUUCCAUUUUUCUUCAUGAGAUUGUUAAAUUCAAUAUUGUCAUAAAUCAUAGCCCUCCAAUAAGACUUUGACUACUAUAUUGUCAUAAAUCAUAUAUCAUAUGGUCCAUUAUACAUGUGCCAACUUCAAACAAUGGCCUACCGAGUGAAUUUCUCAAUAAUAAAUGGAUAUUAGCCCUUGCCUUGGAAGACUUUGACGGUAAGACAUGUGAUAGAGGAAGAAUCUUUGAAAUUUUCAAAUAUGGAUUCUUGUGGAAAAGUGGGUGAUAUAUUUCAAAAAGCCGACAAUUAAUUUUUUGGGUUUUGUCUUGCUUGACUAACCAAAUAAUUUUUUGAGUUUUGUCUUGCUUGACUAACCAAAUAAGAUAUUGAUUGAUCUUUACUAUGAAGGUGUCUUGGCAACUUCCUCAUGUAGUAAGAAAAAGCCAAAUAUCAUGUACCACUAUCUUAUGAAUGUUAACCAAAUACAAAGUGGUGAAACUAUAUAAAUUAAGAUCAUAUUUAAUUGAGGGUUUAAACUAGGAUAAAAUAUUAAUUUGUAUUUCAUAUAUAUAUAUAUAUAUAUAUAAUUUAAAUUUGUAUUAUAAUAUAAAUAUGCUUUUAUUUUUCUUCUUUUUGUAAUAAAAAUUUUAUUUUUCUUUAUUUGAGAUUUUUCUUCUUUUUAUAAAAGACAUCUAUAUUGCAUGUUUUUUGUGAGAUUAUUAAAUCUCAUAUAAAUGGAUAUAAUAAAUAAAAUGAAUAAUCAUUUUUCUUAUCUAUUUUUCAACCAAACAUAAAAUAAAGUUGAUAUGAUCUUAAGAACAUAACAUGUAUCUUAGAUAAAGUAAACAAAAAAAAUAAAAAAUAAAAAGGUUGUUAUGAUUUGCAAAUAAAACUAAAAUGCAAAUCAAUUAUUUUGGAGAAUAUAAAUGCCCAUUACUACAUCAACAACCCUUGUACAUGGAUCAAAAUUCUUAGCUAGUCGCUUUCAAGCAUCAUAUUCCUUCAAUAAUUCUAAUAAGGUCGCCUUUGUUGAUAUUCAAUAAUUCCAAUAAGGUCGGCUUUGUUGAUAUUCAAUAAUUCUAAUAAGGCCGGCUUUGUUGAUAUUGACCACCACAGUCAUAAAUCAUAUAGUCCAAUAUGCACAUGUCAAUUUCAAACAAUGGCCUACCAAUAAAUUUUCUUAGCAAUAAAUGGAUAGCAUCAUAUUCCUUCAACAACUCCAACAAGACUGGUUUUGUUAAUAUUGACCACUAUAUUGUCAUAAGUCAUAUGGUCCAUUAUACAUGUCUCAAUUUCCAAAAAAAAAAAAGAUGUCUACCAAUGAACUUGACUUGGAAGACUUUGACUCCUUUGUAUUAAGAGAUAUGACAGAGGGAAGGAUCUAUGAACUUUUCAAAUAUGGAUUUUAGUGGAAAAGUGGGUAGAAUAUUUCAAUAACGUGAUAAAUAUAUAUAUAUAUUGGUUUUGUCUUGCUUGACUGACCAAAUAAGAUAUUAGUUAAUCUUAUUGCAAAGGUUCCUUGGCAACUUCUUUAAGUAACUAGGAAAAUUCAAUAUUUAAAUUUGCUUGGUUUGCACUAUCAUUGUCAAAAAAACACAAAAUGUUAUUUAUAAUCUUCUUAUGAAUGUUAAACACAUGUAAAUGUAGAUGAUGAAAUUAUGUAAAUUAAGAACAUUUUUAAUUUACGGUCUAGACUAGGACGAAAUAUUAAUGAAAUUGGACAAUAUAUAUAUAUAUAUAUAUAUAUAUAUAUAUAUAUAUAUAUAUAUAUGCAUUUUUUUUUUCUUUUUUGGAACCAAAAUUUUAUCAUUUUAAAAUUAGAUUUUUAUUUUAUUUUUUAUUUUGGUUAUUCAAAGUGAUUAACAUGAAAUUUUUUUGAAGAAAUAUCUAAUAAAUAUAAGAAAUAAAUAUAUUAUCCAAAAUAUAUGUAGAUUCCAUUUUUUUCAUGAGAUUGUUAAAUUCUGAUAUGAUAAAAAGAAUUAAUAAAGUUAAUAUGACCUUAAAAGCAUAGCAUGCACCCUUAGAUAAAGUAAACAAAAAAUAAGAAGAUUGUCAUGAUUUGCUUGUAAAACUAAAAUAUGAAUCAAUUAUUUUGAAAAAUAUGGCGCCCAUGAGUAUUUCCAAAGCCUUGUAAGUUGGAUAAAGGUUAAAAUACAAAAGUGUGGUCUUGGAUUAGAAAAUGUAAGACAUAGAAAGAAAACACACAAAGAAGGGAGAGAAAUCAUUAUAGUUACUCUGAGAUGGGAAAUAUAUCAUAAAGAUGUAUAAUUACUAAAAAUAAAAUAAAAGAUAGUUUGUCUGAUGCUUCUACCAAUUAUUACUCAAAAGAUCAUUAUGCUAAACUCAAAACCACUUUGAGAGACAUAUAUAUAUAUAUAUAUCAAGAAUGAACUCAAAAUAUUGCAAUGUACUUUGAGGAAACAUAGAAUAAGAAAAUUGUUUUUAAAUUAAGUUUACAAAUACUUUUUUCUAGAAAAUAAUAAAGAAAUAUGUUAAUACUGUUCUCGUAAUUUUUUUUUUUUAAAUGAUACUAAAAGUAGAGAAGCCACAUUCAUACAUGUUAUUCUAUGAAUAUAUAUAUAAAAGGAAAAGUCUAGUAAAAAAAAAAGUCUAUACAUAGGACAAAAUGCAUUAAACUAGUGUCAAGGUUCCAACAAAUGUCUUAUUCUAUGAAGUCAUGAACAAGUUAUGAUUCAAUUAAAACAUGAAGUAUUUGCUUAGAAACCUGUUAUUCCAUAAAAAGUAUAACUCAUGCAAGUUGAUUAAGGUGAGGAUUGAAAUUACUAAAAAUAUUUUUUGGUAAAAUAAAUUUUGUUAAGAUUUUAUGGUUAUCCUAUAUCCUACUUCAAAUCAAUCUAGAUGAAAUUAUAUUACAUGAUGAGUGUAUGAUCCUUCAUUGAAACUCUCUAACAGGUUAAGACAAUUGUUAAAGCAAAAUCUAAACCCAAACCUCUUGAUCCGCUGGUUUUCUAUAUUGAUUUUCUCUCCAUAAAAUUUUCCCUCCUUCCCUUUGUUUUGUUUAGUCAUGGUGUUCCCCCUUUGUAAGCAACUAGUUUCAAUGAAAUCUUAAAACUAAUAACCCAUGUACAAGAAUCAUUAAUGUUUCACUUGCCAAGAACAAGUUAAACUAAGAUUCACUUGUUUACAAGUCAAUUUCAUAAUCAUUUCAUAAUUAGAGUGAAAAAAAUAUUUUUCUUUUCUAUUAUUAUUUAUGAAUGUGUAGUUAGCAAAUGUUGUAAUCAAUGGUUCAUGAUGAAUGGGAUUUUUGUACAAUAGAAUAUUUGUUAGGCUCACUUUUGAAUUAAGGUCAUGCUUAUCUUUUAACAGAAGUUUUAAAACAUAAUAAAAUAUUUAAUAAAAUUAAGUUCUAUUUAGACUUAAGUCAAAUUACAAUUUAUUUAGUUUUAAGAUAAAUUAAACAAAUAUCAUUGGAAAAGUUCAGGCUUACAAUAUCAAUUUUCCUUUUUUUGCCACUAAUUUUCCUAUUCAGUAAUGAGAUCCUCUAAAGAGCUUAUUGUUUCCUUAUUAUUAAGAGAAAAAUCAUUAAAAAUAAUAAUAAUCAUACAAUUUACGAGGAAAUUAAUAAAAACUAAAAUUAGAAUUUGGACAGCCUUACAUUGAUUAACUAAAGGCAUCUUUUUCCAAAUUGGAAAAUACAAGGGCCAUCAAGAUAGGUUUCACUAUUAAAAGCAAAUUCCAUGAAGGUAACUAGAAUGCUAAUUGAAACUCACAAAAAUAGAAUAAUUUAAAGUCACUUGAUCUAAAUUACUCUAAAGGUAGGCAUGUAGAGAAAGAUAUACAAUUACAGACAAAAAAUGAUCUCUCAUGAGUCCAAGUUGCAAUCCCUUGCCUAAAAAAUGAUACAUGCAUUAGUUUCUUUCCUCAUUAUGCCCUUAGGGACAUAGGAGACUAAACUAGUCAAGUUUGAGAGGUUGAACGCCAAUUGACAUUCAUUGUCAUAAUCAGUAUCCAAAAAAUAUGAUAAGAUUCAUAACACAAUGACUGAGAUAUUCCAUGGAGAUGACAACAUAUUGCUAAAAGAAUUGAUUGGUACCUAAUAUUCCAUGGAAAAAGUUGUAUAGAUAAGAUAGAUCGAACUUGUUAAACUAGCUUGGCGGUUUAGAAAUUCAUAAAAAAGUAGUUAUAUUAUGAACUAGCUUGGUGGCUUUAAUGUCAAUCAAGCAGGACAAAACCAAAAAAUCAAUUAAUUUAUCAUCUUCCUAAAAUCCAUUUCCUUUGUUUUCAUACAAAUUCAUAAUUGAGAGGUUCAUGGGUUCUUCAUUUUAUCUCAUCCAGCUUAUUGGAUAUUUCAGAAGGCAAAGAAAUCAAGUCCCUCCAAGUGCAAGGACAAAUCUCCAUUUAGUACCAAGAAAAUGAACUCGACGAGUACCCCUAUAUACAAUGAGCCACACAAAUUGAAAAUAGACCCCAUAUACAAUAGACCACACAAAGAAUAAAUCAUAGUGGUACAAUGGUCACAUGUAUAUAAAGGACUAUAUAGUUGUAUGAACCACACAAAUUGAAAAUAGACCCUAUAUAUAGUGGACUACACAAAGAAUGAAACAUAGUGAGAAAUUGGUCACAUACAUACAAUGGACUAUAUGGUCCACGACUGUUAGUGGGAAAUAGUCGAUUAUAAAAAAUUCAUAAGACUUCUUGAAAUGAUGAUGCUUAUGGGGAUGACUUAAAAAUUUUAAAGUUUAUUUUAUUUUUUAUUUUUAUUUUUAAAAAAAAGUAGACACAUAGCAAUAGGGUUCACAUGAUUCAACAAUGUAGUUAUAUCCAUUGUUGAGUUAGGAAACUUUUUAAUAACAAGCCUUGACCCCCAAAGAACUAAUCUAAGUGGUUUCUGAUCAGGAAAGACAUACUUUCAACUAACACACUGAAGGUUUGUUUGCAAAUAUUUUAAAAAUUAGUUUUUCUUUUUUAAAACAAAAAUAAUUUUCCAACCUCAAAAAUACAUCUAGCAGAUUUUAGAAUAAAAAUGUCAUGAAAACAAAGUGAUUGGUGUUUUUUUUAUUGCAUUUUGCAUGGUAAAUUACUUUCACCAAGAACUAAUAAAGAAAACCAUUUUUUAGAAUUUCAAAUAGAAUUUUAUUCCUAAAAAAGAUAUAAAAUUGUUUUUAUGAAUUGUUCUCAAAAACUUAUUUUUUAAAAUUAUUUUUGAAAAUAUUAUCCACCAUGCCUCAAAUUUUCUUGUGAGAACCUAACCUUGCAAUUUCUCAUAUCUAAUUUGCAAGAUGCAAAAUAAUGUUGCGAGAUCUUCGCAAGUAACAAGGCAACAAAUCACAUGAGAAUAAGUCUAUGAAAACUUCUCAAUAUUUCAUUUUAUUCUUUCUAUGAUGCAAAGCACAAGUUUCCAAGAUGAAAACUUGUCCACAUAAAAUUUUCCCUUUUUUUCUCAACUCCUCCUAGCUACCUUAAUGGUACUGAAGCUUCUCCCAAGAAAGCAAGACAUAAUGACUGAGGUUAUUUGUUUCAGGCUAGUUUUUUAAUAAGCUCCCUUAUAAUUGCUUACCUAACCUCAAAGCCUACUCUCUUUGGAGAACAAGAGUCUUCCACAUUUUUUAUUUUUUGAAAUCCAUCUACGAACUUUACUAGAAGAUCUCAAUUAGUGCAAGGAAAGAAACAAUUAAUAAAGGUGGAGCCUCAAAAGCAGCUUAUUUUAUUAAACUAUAGCAAUAAAUAACGAGAUUACAUUAUCACCAUUUAUUAUAACAUGAUUAUUUCCCAAAUUAAACACUCACAAUAGACAACUUUUUAUUCUAUUUCUGUUAUGACUGUCAACUCUGGUUGGAUAGAUGUUAUGCGUCUUCUAACACUUGUCCUUGUUUGUCCCAUGGAGGUAAAAGGAUUAGGAGGCAUAACUAAAUUGCCUCCUUCUCUUUCCAACAUUCCAAUCACAAUUUUCAUGGAAGGACGAUCUAUUGGAUACCAUUGGAUACACCAAAGCCCUAUGAUGCUUAGUUUCUUUGCUAUUUUAAUAUCACUUUCAUCCUCAAUUCGGAUGUGUACCUCUUGCUCUUGAUCCAAAUGAUUGUAGAGCCAUUCUGGGAAGUAUGCUUGACUAGUAUUUUCUACUGUAGCAUCAAUAUUCUUCCUUCCCCCUACCAUUUCGAUCAACAACAUACCAAAACUAUAAACAUCUGACUUAUAAGAUACAUUCCCAAAAUUUCUUGAUAACAUUUCUGGUGCAAUAUAACCCAUGGUUCCCCUUGCUGCUGUCAUAGAUACUGCACUUUGCUCCUUAGAGCAUAAUUUGGCUAAACCAAAAUCAGAAAUCUUCGGAUUAGAGUUAUGAUCAAGCAAAAUAUUAUGAGGUUUGAUAUCCAAAUGAAGGAUUCUUUGAUCACAACCUUGGUGAAGAUACUCAAUACCUUUAGCUAUGCCAAUAGCAAUUUCUUGAAGCUUAUGCCAACCCAGAGAAUAAUUAUUACCAAAUGCUGAAAAUAUAAACUUGUCUAGUGACUCAUUUGGUAAAAAUUCAUAAAUCAAAGCUCGCUUAUAUCCAUCUGCACAAAACCCGAGCAACCGAACCACGUUAACAUGAUGUAUGGUACUCAUUGUUCCUACUUCAUUAAUGAACUCUUCUCCAUUUCCUUUGAAACCAUCAAGGAUCUUUACAGCAACAAAAACUUCAUUUGAGAGCUUUCCUUUAUAAACGGUCCCAUAGCCUCCUUGACCUAGUUUGUCCUUGAAAUUAUUUGUGAUCUUUUUAAUAUCAGCAUAGGAGUACCUUGAGGGCUUCAGAGCUCUAUAAUCUUCCAAAAACUUUUGAAUAUUUAUUCUAUGCUCUCUUUUCAACUUAUUAGAGCGAUAGACAAUAAAUAUUAUAAAGAUUCCAAAAGUGAAAUGAAGGAAACCAAGGAUUGCUUCUGCACAUAGGGGAAAAAAAGUUUCUAUAAGUAAAUGAAACAAGAAAAAAAAAAAAAAAAGACAAACUAAGAAUCAUCAUCAUGAUGUCACCCUCAUUAUUGAAAAGAAUAUGAAUAGGAAAUCACCUGUAAGCACCAUUUUAUCCAUUGGAGCACCUGUAAAAGAUAGUAAACUUAUUAGCUUUUUGUAUUCUUUUAAUUAGUAAAAUCAUAAUAGAUUACAUGACGUUGUAACAUGAGUAUAGUUAUUUUUGGUGUAUUUGGAUUUCAACCUUGGCCUUUGCAGUCCUUUCUACAGGUUCGAUUGUUUUAGCUAAGCCUAAUUGUUGUAGCUAGCUUGUAAUGAAUAAAUAAUAUUGCAUGUUCAGAUCCAUUACUAUAGUAGUUAAUUUGGUUCACAUCCAUAAGGGUUCAAUCCAAUUUUAUGGUACAAACAGAGAAUACUAUAGAAAAUUUCAUGUGCAUAUUAACAUCAUAGUAGGAGAUAAGAAAGGGCUUGCAAGGUGAAAAUGAUGAAGAAGCGGGAUUUAGUACCUUUUGCUGGUUUAUCAAUGCAUUCGAUUUCAGGUUCCCUGCUAUUAUUCUUCUUCCGUUGGCACUUGUUUCCUUUUGCUUCACAGUUUCCGCACAUAGGUUUUGACCAAUUCAUAUAAAAUUCCCUUUCAUGAUAAACCAUAUAAUUAUAUGUAUAAUAUUCUGGGAGUGUAGCAUUGAAAAUCUUCCGGCAAGAGGAUAAGUUCACUUCAGCGAGAGAGUAAGAGGAAGGAGCGACAUAAACUGGGUUACUUGAGAGAAUACUGCAAGGGAUGGACCAAAGUUGAUUAUCAGCAUAUGAUAGCUGAUUUGUUAUAUCUUCAGAACAAUUGAAGAAGGAGAAGUUGCUGUAUGUGUACUCAUCUUUGAACUGGAAGGGAAAGGCAGAUAAAUUAAAGUUUAGAAUCUGCCAUUGAAGGUAAUCACGCGGGUACCAGAGAACAAUCUCCUGAGAAGUGUAAUUUAUUUCCUUCACCCAGAGCUUUCCUGAAGAGGGCAGCUCUAGUAUGGUCCGCUUCUCUUCUGAGCAUGAUAGCUCAAACUCCGGAUAUCCACAGUGUUCUGGCUGGUGUUUUAGCCGGAACGGAAACCGGAUGACUGGACCAUGGUGACUGCACCUUGACGCCUUGCACUCAUCAUCUCGGCUUCCUCCAUUAAUCUCUGCAAACAAUCUCAUAAACAAGAAGAAGAAGAAUAAAGAGAUGCCCAUUUUUAAGCAACUGCUUAUCUCUAUAGUUUUAAUUUGCACUGCUUCUCCCCUACUUUAUAUAUAUAAUUAGAUUUGAAAAUUUUGUACAAAGGGAGAAGAACUUUGUUUGUUUAGGAAGCAGGUGCUUUUAGGGAAUACAAAAAAGAUGGAGGACUGCUACAAUAAAAAUUUAGUUUUAUCUCAGAAUAUAAAAUUUACUUGAAAAAAUUGUAGAAAAUUGGUCUAUCAGUAUUUACUAACAUGCCGUAUGAGUAAAGAAAGAUGAUAAAGAUGAUCCUUCUUUAUCCUUUUCCCAUUGUUGAGACCUAAAAAUUAGGUAAUAUUUAAAACAUAAACAAUUCCAAUAUAAACCAUAAUAACUUCAAGCAUCAUUUUUAACAUAGUGAUUCUAAAUAAUGGGAAGCUCACAGUUGGCUGGAUGUGAUGGGAUGAAAGUGUGGUCCCAGUUGAAAAAUCAAACAGUUUGGGGAAGAAUAACAUGUUGAAGAAAGCUGCAAUUAAAACAGAGUAUCUCUCUCUCUGUGGAACUCACAACCCAAAAACAGAGCAUCUCUCUCUCUCUCUCUCUCUCUCUAAAAUUUGAUAAUGUUAAGGGAGGCACAACUCGUGGGAGUAGGCCUCAUGACAGUAGUCAUCCAUGCCUGCUUCCUUUCAGUUUGUGUUGCUAAGCAUCACAAGUACCAGAUAUGCAGCCCCUCUUCCUGCGGAGAUAUGAGGAACAUUUCCUACCCUUUUCGAUUACAAGACGAUCCCCGCAGCUGCGGUUACCCUGAGUAUGAAUUGAUUUGUGAAAACAAUCGUACUAUGAUAAACCUUCAUGGUGGGACAUACUUAGUUACCCAGAUCAACUACCAGAAUUAUACAAUUCGGGUAGUGGAUCCUCGGCGAAAGAAGGACAACUGUUGGAUCUCCAGUCCUCUUAAUUCCAUUGGUGCAUAUUACAAAGAAAAUCCAUAUGAUUCGUCUUCUGCAUGGAGUGCUGGUUAUACUCUGCCUUAUAAAUGGAAUCCUGCUUCUCCUUAUCCUUCUGAACCAAUAUUCUAUACAAUAGUUUUGAUGAACUGUGAGCAGUCAAUCAGGGACGACAACUACCUUCAUAUAAUUCCAUGCAACACUAGAGGCUCUUCCUCUUCCUCACCAACAUACGCUUAUGCAGUUGUCGGAGACUAUGUGUCGGUGGGAGAUAUUCCGUAUUCAUGCACCAUCGGCACAUCUAUUAUUAUUCAACCGUUGAAGUCACUUCCAGAGCCCAGCAAUCUUUCGAUGUCAGAUUUGCAAAAUUAUAUGCUUCUGGGGCUUCAGCUUUCAUUUUUGCCUCUCUUCUGCCACCGCCAAUGCGAAAUGAUAGGGCAAGAUUGCUACGAUAUAAAUUUCACUGGGAACGUCGGCUUUGAAUGCAAGUCAUGGGCCGACCUUACUGGCAACACUCCAGAGAAAAAUGGUGAGUAUAAGAUGCCCUCAUACUUGAUCUUUGGAGUUGGGGUUACAGUGCCUGCAAUCAAGGAAACGCGAUUUUAUAGGAAAUUAAUUCCCUGAAAAUCUGAUUAUGCCUAACCAUCUUAUCUUCCUUGCAUUAGUCUUCAAUAUUUCCAUCCCUAAUUUCACUUGUUUGGUUUAAUCUUGCAGGGCUUUGGACAGGGCUUUGGAAGUUUAUAAGAAUUUAUUUAUUGCUACCCUUCUUUAGUAAGGCUUCAACUAAAAUUUUCUUUGAAAUCAAAUCUUUAUUUUAUUCAUUUUUCCUAUUUUUUUUACAAAAUUUCCUAAUUCAUUGUUAACAGGGGGGUUACUUUCUCCCUACACCUUAAAAUUUGGAGGUAAGGAUGCUUCUUGCAAUUAUUAUUUUCUCAUGAGAAUAAGACAAAAGAUUUAUUUAGAGUUCUUUCAUCUUAAUUAAUCUCUCCAUUUCUUGCUUCUCAAUAAAUUUAAAAUUUAGGCAAUCAAGGGCAUUCUUCCUUGUGACUAACAUGGCACGAAUGGUUUAAUAUAGGACUUCAAGAAGAACUUAGUAAAUGCGAAUUUUACUAUCCCUGCAACACCUCGAUGAUUGGUAAGACUUUCUUCACUUACAUGUCUCCUCUUCUAAUGUUAUUUAUGUCUCUCACUUAUAUUGGUCCAUAUUUUUAAUUUGUUACAUCUCUUCCUUACUAGGCGGCUGGAUACUGCGUAUUAUUGGUAAGCCUCCUAAAUUCCAACUACUAAGUUUUUGUAAAAACAAUAUUGUAAAGAGUUGAUAUGAAAAUUCUUGGAAUUCUUGCAUUUUGAAGGUUGUGCAGUGAACUUCAAAUUGAUUUUGCUUUGUUUGACUGUACAAAGCAAAAUCAAUUUAGAUGUAAUUCAAAAUUUUCUCCCAAAUUUAAAUGUAAUUCAACUCCACUAACAUAUAAAGAAGUCAAAACAAUGAAAUUGAAAUUGGGGUCUUCUUAUCCAAGGCCCCAGUACUUCCAUCAAAUUGCUCCCCAAGCAACAGUACUCUGUAAAGUGAUUGUUAAAGUAGCUAUUUUAUAUGGCUCUCUAACAACACAACAACUUAGUGUUUUACUUUAUAUGAAGGUAGAAUAGUUUUUUCUACCAUAUGUAUUUGUUGGAUUUAACUUUGUUUUUGAUAUCUUGUUCCUUUUUCUUAAAAUAAUCAUUUUUUUUUACAUUUGAUUUGUGUUUAGUCAUAGGAAGGACUAUGCUCGGGAUGUUGUGUCUAUUCGCCUAUUUGAUUUACAAGUUCCACCGGAGACAUCUAUCAUUAGAUGAUAGCAUUGAAGAAUUCUUACGGAGUCAAAAAAAUCUCCAACCCAUCAAGUACUCGUAUUCAGACAUAAAGAAGAUGACUCAUAACUUUGCGAAUAAAUUAGGUCAAGGAGGUUUUGGCUCUGUAUAUAAAGGAAAACUUCGAAGUGGUCGCAUUGUAGCUGUGAAAGUGCUGGUCAUGUCAAAAGCUAAUGGACAAGAUUUCAUCAAUGAGGUUGCAACAAUAGGAAGAAUUCACCAUGUUAAUGUGGUGAGACUUGUAGGAUUUUGUGUACAAGGAUCAAAAUGGGCACUUAUAUAUGACUUCAUGCCUAAUGGUUCUCUUGAUAAGUUUAUUUUUCUUAAAGAAGAAAAUAACACUUUUUUAAGCUGGGAAAGGUUGUAUAAGGUUGCACUUGGAGUGGGGCGUGGGAUUGAAUACUUNNNNNNNNNNNNNNNNNNNNNNNNNNNNNNNNNNNNNNNNNNNNNNNNNNNNNNNNNNNNNNNNNNNNNNNNNNNNNNNNNNNNNNNNNNNNNNNNNNNNGGGCGUGGGAUUGAAUACUUACAUCAAGGCUGUGACAUGCAAAUUCUACAUUUUGAUAUCAAGCCACACAAUAUUCUUCUUGAUGAAGACUUUACACCAAAAGUUUCAGAUUUUGGCCUUGCAAAAUUGUAUUCAACAGAUGAAAGUAUGGUGUCUCUCACUGCUGCACGAGGAACAUUGGGAUAUAUUGCUCCAGAAUUGUUCUAUAAAAAUAUUGGAGGUGUCUCAUACAAAGCUGAUGUUUAUAGUUUUGGAAUGUUGUUAAUGGAGAUGGUGGGGAGAAGAAAGAAUGUGAAUGCAAAUGCAGCGCACUCGAGUCAAAUAUAUUUUCCAUCAUGGAUUUAUGAUAGAUAUGAUCAAGGAGAUAACAUAGACUUGGGAGAUGCCACUGAAGAUGAAAAGAAGCUUGUUAGGAAAAUGGUGAUAGUUGCACUAUGGUGUAUACAGAUGAAGCCCAUAGAUCGUCCUUCAAUGAGCAAAGCUUUAGAGAUGUUGGAAGGAGAGGUUGAGCUAUUAGAAAUGCCUCCGAAGCCUACUCUAUACUCUGAGGAAAUGUUAGUUGAGGAUCAUAUGAGCAAUCCAAUAGAAGCACCAAUUUCCUUGUGCAAUUCCAUGGGUACAAUUACAUUAGAUGGAAGGUAGCAUAGCAUUUUUCCACUUGCAUGCUAUCUCCUAUGAUAUCAUAUGUUUGUAAUUUGGAUUAAAUGUAUGGGUUAUAACUCCUCUUGCAAGGUCCAUAUAAUGUAAUAUUGUCUUGAGGCAUUGGCAUGGUACCCUAGCAAGGUACCCUAGCAACAAGCAUAUAAACAUGUAAUAAUUAUUACCUAUGUUCUAAAUGAUUCAAAUAGCACCAAACGGGAAUAUCAAUUAAUGUUUUAAGGCCUAGUUCCAUAGUACUCAAAUGAUUAUUGUUGUAUUGCAUAGCCUCACAUGACUUAAAUAACACCAAAUAUAUAUAAUAGAAAACAAAGUAAACUAACUCUAAAUAGAAAGAAAAGCAAUAAGAUUAAUAAAGAUAAAAGAAAGGACAUAAUAUUUAUGAUGUACCAUAAGAGUGUCUUAUCUAUGUCCUUGGGAAAUAGCAAUCAAUUCAUUAACUUUUAAAUUAGAAAAUUACAAAAUUGGAAGAAUAUCGAACUAGGAGGCUCUUACUUGGCAAAGAGCUUUCUUUAUACUAAUAUUGGCUAAAGCCACUAAGAUAGCUAAAAGGACAUGGGCUUAUAUAUAAGCCUCCAAGCAUUGACCAAACCAAUUCAUAAUCCAUGUGGGACAAGGAAUCCCUAAACUAACGAAUACUAAUUACACCAAAAACCAACAAAUCUCAACCUUGGAAAAUUAAUACUCCACUACCAACUCCCAAAAUUCAAAUAUUCUCUAACAAAUGAACUUCAAAUGCAUCUCUAGAAACCAUAUACCCAAAAUUUUCAAACUAGUAUGAUAUUAACCAAGCCCAAAUAGUAAGAGGGAGCACUACAGGAAUAAUGCCUUAUAGCAGCGGCUAGUGACCCUCACUAGAGGUCAGAAAUAAUGUGCCUGCAAAUUAUGGUUGCACACCAAGUUGACCGCUACAUGGUGUAGCCAUAGGUGGUGCAACAAUUUCUUAUAGCUGCAGUUGUGAAAGUGACCAUAAACACAAGUUAAAGUAAUAGUAGCAACCAUAGUAAAGUGCAGCAAAUGGUUCUUACAACUGCAUCUUGUUUUUGGCCCCCGCUAAAUGGCAUAUAGUUGCAUUUUGGAGUUGGCCACAGCUAUAAGUUAUCAUUAUUCAUUUUUUGUGACGCUCGUUUGUGAGGCUCCCCAUUAAAUCCUUCAAAACACUAUAAAAAUGGUGUGGAUCAGAAACAUUUUUCUUCUAAGAAUUUGAGUAAGCAUAAUCUUUCUUUUGAUAUUACAUGCAAUUUCAUGUUGCAAUAGUAGCUUGACCUUAUCCCAACCACCUCAUAACUGAAUGACAAUUUUUUCUGGAUCUCUUUCAACACCAAUAGCAAGUUUAGAUUGGGUAAACAGAAAAAAAAAGGGCUAACCCCUUCAAGAUUGACACAAAAGCUUCGCGGUAAUAUUCCAAAAUUUGGAGAAAUACAAAACUCAUAGGUCAACAAAAAUCCUUCUCCUAAACAUGAUAUCUAUUAUAAACCUUUUUUCCAGUAAAAAAAUAAUAGAAUCAUAUAAUGGAUAUAUACAGAUGGUGAAUCCCAAUUAGCAUCUACAAAACAAACUUGUAGGAACACAACAGAGAUUUUUUAGAUCAAUAUAUUGAGAAAAUGACUUGACACUAAAAAAAAAAGGCUAAGAAGCUCUGAGAUUUGAUGUUUUGUUAACAGAGAUCCAUGAGGACAUAGAACAACAUAUUUAAAUAGUUAUUUUUUCUAUGAAUAAGAAAAAAAAUUACAUGAGUAACACCACACCAAUGCUUAUUUGAAUAAAGUGUCAUUCAUGGACAAAAACUAAAGAAACCAAUUGGGACUAGGGGGCAAGGCCAUGAUAUUAUCAAUUACGUUACACUAGGCAGGUUAUAAUUACCAUUGAGUGUAGAAUGAUAUAUUCACUUCUCAGCAACUCCAAUAUCUGAUAGUAUCAUAUUACCCUACAGGCAGAAUACAAACAACGAAUGAAAUGUGAGUUGCAACAAUCAGGCAAUCAAAAUCACAUUUUGAACAAUAUAGGAACCCAACAUCCAAACAAAAUAGUAUCAACAAGAAACUGCUAUUUCUUUCAUGAUACAAGGAAUUUUUGCCUCCAUAAAUUAAUUACUUCAUACGGAGUAAAAUUUAAGGGUACAACAGACACCACCGCCUCAUAAUUCAAGAACCAAACCAUCAAGAAGGCUAUGUUGAAAUCUAAUCACCACAUCCAAAUAGGUAUUUCUCUGGUCUCAACAAGUGACACAAGGAAAUUUUUGUAUCUAGUGAAUACCUUUGCCUACAUCUAGUACAAGGUUAUGUUUUUAUCUUGUAAACAUAUAUAUACAUCCAAACAUGUAUACACACACACGUGUAUGCACUCUGAAGUUCCCUAGAAAUUAUAAGUAGGUUUUGUAGGUACAUGGCUAUGACCAAUUCUUGUCCUAGCUUGUAGAUCUAGGUUAGCCCAAGGGUGUACCUUUUCCAAAUUUUCUCUUUAUGAUGUUGCUUUAUCCCUCUAGGUAUAUAUUGUUAAUGGCCACAACCUCAGCAAUCUUUUUCAUGUUUCCAUGCAUGGAUCAGUUUAAAAAGGAAAAACACAUGAUUUCCAGAGUUUGAACUUCCAUUAUUUUACUAUAGGUACAAGGUUAACAUUUUUUGUAUUCAUGCCCCAGUUUAGUCAUUUUCAUAUUGACAUGUGUUAAUGGUGUUUUCUUACAUUCUUAUUGAUGAAAUCCUCCCUUUCCAAGACCACAAUUCAUUCUAAGUUUAUCAAAAGACAUCAAGGCAUCAUAGAAAAUCAACAAUUCUAAUAUUGUAACAUCUCCAACAUUUGUAGAAAACACAAGAUUCCAUAUUUAAUCUCUAGAUUGUAAAUUAAGGUUCAAAACUCAAAAGCACAUUCAUAUAUACACAAACCUCACUAGCCAUAAGCUUUCGAACAUUAUUAGCAUAUAAUUUUCCCAUACAUUACAAAUGAGCUUAAUUUGAGAGUUAUACCUUGGCAAUGAGAGAACCUGCUUUGGGCAACAAUUCAAAUCAUGACAGAAUUUUUUGGUCUCCAUCUCAUCCUUGUAGCAACAUGUACCUUACUCAUGUCAUUCCUCUUGUGUGGAGCUACCAUUAUCUUACCAAUAACAUGCAAAGUAGACAACAAGACUGAACAAGAAAUUAAAAUUCCUGAAGUUUAGAAUCCUAUACUGUAAGGAGAAUGGAACUAUGAGUGUCCAAGUGUGGUUGCUUGUCAAGAGUUGAAAAUUUGGAUGAUUAUUUGGAGGUUCUAUUCAAAUUGUUGGGCAGAAUGAUUAGAGAAUGAAAAAUGAUUAAGAAAUUUGGACAACAAUAGAGCAAGUAAGAAAAAUUCAGAUCUGAAAUGAAGCAUGAAAUAGACUAAGAAUGAUAAUUAGUUCAUUUGUAGCCCUUGUAAGAAGAUAACUAAGUCUCCAAGUGUAUUAUUACUUUCCUUGUUCAAAAUGGUACACGAGAACUUGUUUCCCCAAAUCCAAAGCACAAUCUUCUUAGGUGUAAGUGGAUUUUUCACAUUAAGCAUUUACCUGAUGGUUCUGUUGACAAGUACAAAGCUCAUCUUGUCACUAAAAGAUUUCAGCAAUGACCGGGCAUUGAUUGUCAUGAUGUUUUCAGUCCUGUUGUCAAACCCACCAUUAUACAUCUUGUUCUUAGUAUUACAAUCAGCCAUGCUUGGUUUCUAUACUAACUUGAUGUUAAUAAUGCUUUUCUUCAAGGCCACUUGUUUGAAGAUGUUUUCAUGGCUUAACCAUUGGGAUUCAUUGAUUGUGAUCAUCCUAAUUAUGUGUGCAAACUUUAAAAAGCUAUCUAUGGUCUCAAGCAAGCACUACAUGCUUAGUAUCAUGAGCUCCACUAGUUUCUUCUCACCUCUAGCUUCACUAACUCUCAUACUUACACUUGACUAUUUGUCCUCAACACUAGUGGUGUCAUGGUUUAUCUCCUUGUUUAUGUUGAUAAUGUUAUCAUAACAAGUGACAGUGAUGGUGUUGUGUAAAAGUUCAUCCUAAUCUUGCCCAACAAUUCUCCCUUAAGGAUCUCGAGUCUCUUUCUUAUUUUCUUAGCAUUAAAGUCACACACCAUCGUCAUGGAUUAUUUCUUUCUCAACAUCAAUAUAUUGGCGAUCUCUUAGCUCACACUCACAUGUCAAAUGCUAAACCAAGCGCCACACCACUUACUACAUCUCCAACUCUUGAACUCUAUACCGGUACCGCCCUCUCUAAUCCAACAGAGUAUCAUACUAUUAUUGGCAAUAUUCAGUAUAUUUCUCACUCGACCUUAAAUCGCUUUUACAAUGAGUAAACCCUCACAAUUUAUGCAUCACCCUACUAGUGCUUAUUAAACUAUUGUCAGACACCUUUUUUGGUACCUUUGUGGCACAUAUGAUCAUGGUUUGGUUCUUUAUCGCAACUCUCCUUUUCUUUUCAUGCUAAAGAUAAUUUUACUUCUAUAAGUGCUUACAUCGUUUACAUUGGUCAUAAUCCUAUCUCAUGGAGUUCUAAGAAGUAAAGAAUUGUUGCACACUCUUCUAUUAAAGUGGAAUAUCGUUUUGUUGCAUAUACAUCUACAGAAUUACAUUGGGUAUGUUCACUUCUUAUUGAACUUAGUGCUUAUGUUCUACAAGUGUCUAUGAUCUAUUGCAAUAAUGUUGAUACUAUUCAUCUCAACUCCAAUACGAUCUUUCAUUCCUGCAUGAAACAUAUUGAAUUGGAUUAUCACUUUAUUCAUGAACAAGUUCAAAGUGAUGCUCUCUGUGUGGCUCAUGUUACUCNAAGAUCAGUUAGUUGAUGCUCUCACNAGCCUCUUCNNNNNNNNNNNNNNNNNNNNNNNNNNNNNNNNNNNNNNNNNNNNNNNNNNNNNNNNNNNNNNNNNNNNNNNNNNNNNNNNNNNNNNNNNNNNNNNNNNNNACACCACUUACUACAUCUCCAACUCUUGAACUCUAUACCGGUACCGCCCUCUCUAAUCCAACAGAGUAUCAUACUAUUAUUGGCAAUAUUCAGUAUAUUUCUCACUCGACCUUAAAUCGCUUUUACAAUGAGUAAACCCUCACAAUUUAUGCAUCACCCUACUAGUGCUUAUUAAACUAUUGUCAGACACCUUUUUUGGUACCUUUGUGGCACAUAUGAUCAUGGUUUGGUUCUUUAUCGCAACUCUCCUUUUCUUUUCAUGCUAAAGAUAAUUUUACUUCUAUAAGUGCUUACAUCGUUUACAUUGGUCAUAAUCCUAUCUCAUGGAGUUCUAAGAAGUAAAGAAUUGUUGCACACUCUUCUAUUAAAGUGGAAUAUCGUUUUGUUGCAUAUACAUCUACAGAAUUACAUUGGGUAUGUUCACUUCUUAUUGAACUUAGUGCUUAUGUUCUACAAGUGUCUAUGAUCUAUUGCAAUAAUGUUGAUACUAUUCAUCUCAACUCCAAUAUGAUCUUUCAUUCCUGCAUGAAACAUAUUGAAUUGGAUUAUCACUUUAUUCAUGAACAAGUUCAAAGUGAUGCUCUCUGUGUGGCUCAUGUUUACUCCAAAGAUCAAUUAGUUGAUGCGCUCACCAAGCCUCUUCCACAUGCAUGAUUUCUCACUCUUCAAGCCAAGAUUCAACGCUCCUCCUAGAGCCCCAUCUUGUGGAGGCAUAAUAGAGAAACUAAAUAAUUUAAAUAUUAGUUUAUCCUUAAUUUAACUAUUAAUAUUUAUCUAUUAAUUAUUAGUUUGAAUUAGAGUAAAAUAUAAAGUUUGAAUUAGAGUAGAAGUGUACUAUUAGUUUGAAUUAGAGUAGAAGAUAGAAUUUGAAUUAUAGUAAAAUUGAAAUGUAUUUAUAUAUAAAUAUUCCACAUUAUCAAUGAGAAUGUAAGUGUGGAUCCCGCAUUUCGACUCAUGUGUUUCCCACUCGAUGGCAAACUCGAUUUAUUAUUUGAAAAAUGAUUUUUAUUGUUUUAGAAAAAUGACUUGGAGUCACCACUUAUUUUUGUUUUAUUUUAAAGGGUAAACAAAAUAAGAAAGAAAAACUCUAAGUCCGACUCCUUAUUUUGGAAAAGAUGGUCUGUGAAAAACCGGAUUGGGUUUGGGGGUCAAGUUAUUAUUCGGAAAGGUACGGUAAAGACCGUAGCACCCCUCUAAGCCCCUAAAGUCGGGUCUCUACUAAUGAGAUGAAACAAUAAUGAUAAUGGAUGAGUAAAUCAACGAAUACCCGGAAUAAAUCAUGCACACGUGGGUAUCAGAACAUGCAUAGACACUGAUCAAAGUGAAAGUGGGUACAUACUUGGGUAACGAGCCACCAUGCGCUAUCAAGAGAGAGAGUUAGUGCACAAUUAAGGAAUGAUAGCAUGCAUGUCAGGGAGCAGGAUAAAUCAAUCAUGUAUGAUAAUCAAAUCAAUCAAUCAGUCAAUCAAUUAUAAAAUUAUUUAUGUGGGCCCCCACCAAUGCUCGAUUUAUUUUAGCAUGAAUUAAUUUCAUAAAUUCCAUUAAUUGGAAUUACAAAAUUAAAAUCUUGCUUAUUUUAAAACAAGGGGGAUGUAGAAAUUGUUUGCCAGAAGGAAAGAUGACAACAAAGUUUUACUAAAAAUGGGACUCUUGGGUGAUCCUAAAAAUUCUAAGGAUGAAAUAUGGAGAAAUUGGAAUUAUUUGAAAACCUGAAAUCGAGAAAGUAUUUACCAAAACGAGGUAUAGGGAAACUGCUUUCAAAAUCAAGGGAUGAUGAACUAGGUUGAUAGCUCAUGGCAUAAGAAAAGGAAAAAAAUUGCAUGCCAAAGGUGGCCAUGCAACUGGAAGCAUGCAGUGGUGAGCUUAGGGAGGAAUGAUGCUGGCAGAGAUGUGGGCUCCAUCUCUUGAAUCUGAUCUAUCAUCUUCUCUCCUUUGUCCAUGUCACUACCACUGUCACCAAACCAUAGGCCUUCUAAUCACGUGAUGACUCCACUGUAGACUGUUUGAUGCAUUCUUAUAUAAACUCUUAAAACACCUUUUGAGCUACAAUCAAUGGAGCCUCGUCUCGGCACAUACAUUUGAGUAUUAUUUCGGGAAUCUGAGUGAUAAACCCCUAAAUUUCAGCAUCCCCUGAGUCCUUGGUUAGCAAAGCUUCCAACUCCUGUGCAGCAAUUUGGUACUUAUCCAAUGCAUCUCCAAUAUUCAACAAGGGUUUAGAGAUGCACUCCACGGAUGUUCUGUGGUAAAAGCAGCAGGCAAUGAUAGUGCAGCAACUCCCAAUCCUUUUCCAACAUUAGAGGCCUCCAUUGGAUGAACUUCAAGGGUAGGAGCCAUUGACGAAAAUGAAACAGAGUUAAGUUUAGAGCCAUGAGGAGAAACACCAUCCAUCACUCCAAUGCGUGCAGAAGGGCCACUAAGGAAUUGGGCAGAACUGGGAUCCAUAUCCUCAAGAAUUAGAUCCAAGAGCUGAGUAGCACUCGAUCCAGUGGCCCCAGUCCCAGUAGAGUAGAAGCCUAGGCUAAGCUGUCUUGAUGAUGAAGCAUAAGCACGAGACAAACCAGAACUGCCAGGAGCCACCAGAUGCAGCAUGUGAUCCAGCAGGAACUGCAUUUGAGCUCUGUCCAGAUUGAUUUUGCCAGAGAAACCAAACGAAAUCCUCAUAAACCCGCUGUUGGGAAUGGGACAAAUGACCAGGUCUGGGGUGGAGGGCGUGGGUAUGAAGGUUAGUUGGGUUACCUGUGGUGGAUACGUGUGGAAAUGAGCAAGGGAUGAUGGUAUAACUAUGGGCUCGAUGAGUAUAUGGAAUAAGAAAUGGGUAUGGUUACUUAAUUGGGUGGGUAUGAGAGAUAUAGAUGGAUGAAGGUGAUGAGCAUGACGGCGGGAUAGGAUGAAGAAGAGUGUGAGAGGAGCGACAGAUGACCAUGCACGGGAGGAUUGACGUUAAAUAGAGAACGAGUGGCGAGAGAGAGGGAGAGACACGGGUUAGUGCUCUUACUCAAGGGUGGCAUGGGUGAUGGGAGCAGGGUGUUUGGGAUGGGUAAGGUAAGUUGUAGAUGAGCCCAAGACUGAGGGAAGUGGGUCGCUGCAGCAUUUGGAGAUGGUAGUAGCCAUCCCGUGCAUGAGUUUCUAGACUCGGAUAGGUAGCGCUCAUUGCUUGCAUCCUCUUUGGGAGAUGAUAGCGAUUUCAAGGCUGACGGGAUAUCAUUGGAAGCAUCAAGAGUCUCUUUCCAUGCUCCCAACAUCUGAUUCAUUGUAUCUUUGCAUUAUGAUUUCCACAGAAACCCCAACAUGUAACAGAGACAAGACGCAGAGGUAGAGAUCCUCAUAAAUGUAUGAGUCAAACAUAGCAGGCGUUCCAGCAGCUUUCUUGUCCUGUGGGCCAUGGCAUGGCAACCUCUUCCUCAUCCACAUGCUUAUCUUGAUUAUUUAUUAUAAGUGCCAUUGAUGGCUCAGCAGAUAAGUGCAAGGUGCACCAUUUCUUGGCCAAAGGAACGCCUAUACAGAAUAUGACUACGCUCGUCCAGAAGCCGGCGUGACUUUGGGUCAUAUGGGAUUUCCUUGUUGGUCUUGGAUCGGUUUCAUUGGAGGGUGCAACCAAGGGAAUCUUUGACGGCCUGGUUAGAUUAGGACCGCUGGAUAUGGAAGUUGAGAGAUGCGUAGAGACGGACGACGAAGGGAGGAUGAGAGGGUUUAGAAAGAAUGAGAAGGGCAAAUGUGGUGGUGAAGCAAGUUACGGGCAGUGGGUAUGGAGGAUGGGAAGGUGAUAGUGAGAGAAAAGGCAUGUGGGGGGUAUGAUCAAUGGGUUUAGAAAAUGGUUGUGAAGAAAUGAUGCAGUGGAUAUGACGAAGAAAUGAAAGUGUUAGAUUCGGCAUUUCAGGUGGGCAUCUGGAUAUGGAAAUGGGGUACUGGCUCACGAUGCUAGAGGUUGGUUGUAUACCAGAGCAAGGAUUCCAAAUUGCCUCAAUGCUGCCACUGUGCACGAAACCUAGCCGGAUAGCAAACACUGUAUACGUAUAUUUUCAAUGAUGGCUCACUGCAGCAAUAAUAUCCCAAUGCCAAUUAACUCUCAUACAACGAUUUUGGCAUAUAUUAAACAGAUCCUAACGCCCGUUCUACAAUCCUUGGAACGACGUGUUACAGCAUGCAAGAGAAAUGGGAGAUCCUGGGGGAAUAAACUGGCUAGCGAAGUCCAUGGGUCAUAUUGGACUUGCACUCAAUGUGAUUCAUUAACGGGGACUGUAAGACCAUGAAUCUUAUACACCCAAUACUUAUGGUAUCAAGUCGAGCCUGUCAUCCAUGGCGUUUCGACCCUGGCAGCUUAUUCAUAAAGUUCCACACUAUCUCAAACUUCCAGCGUUGCGUCCUUGUCAUUAUGCUUCCAAAAAACGGGAUAAAGUGCACGACUGCGCUAGAUCUCAUAUACGGAAUCGUCCUCAAGCAUGACCCAUCAUCGAAACGCCUUUCAAUUAUCUGAGAAAACUUGAUUAAUAUAUUCUGCGUUACCUUCAGCAACAUUAGCAAUCACAUUCAUUGUCUAGGAGGAUAACUAGUUGCUCUUCGUGGUGAGUUCGGUGUCGUUUGAGCUUCUCCAUCACAUCAAAGGAUAGCUAGCCAAAAGGGAAAUGAUACCAUAGAUGAUGAAGGAGUGGCACAGACAGAUGAAGCAGUCAAGAGGUAUCCUUAGAAGCCCUCUGCGGAUGACAUUUUAAGGGCUUUGUGAUACUCUGAAGCAUAGAUACUCAGUUAUGACCUCCAAUCCUGAUAUAGAACACUCAAAACAGGCUCAAUCUACUCAACAUGCUCUUCGGGCACUCCAUAGAAACUAAGCACCUGUAAUCGCAGCUCCCACUCCUUGGAUUUGCGUUCUCAGAUUGGAGAUGCACCAGUCAAAACACGUCGCGAACAGACACCAAAACAGAGAAAAAAUAGAGAGGAAAAUUGAUAGAACCAAACAAAGAUGGGUGAGAUGGGAGUUGGUUAAGCAAGACCUGGUCUCAUAAUUCAUCCACAGGCUUACCAACUAGUGGGGGAAGAAAUGGAUUUAAAGAGAAAUGAUAAGAAGAAGACCUUGAGAUACCACGCGGAUAAAACUGGUCCAGAUUCACAUCAUUUCUCUCAAAAUGAACCCAGAAAAAAAUAUAUGAACAUGUAGUCAUAGCGAAUCCAAUGAAAACAUAAAAAUCAACAAGAGCAACCACAUGAUAUCCACAUGCAAAUUGCUAAAUAACACCCAGCUAGGAAUAAAGGAGAGCAAAUAACAAAAGAAUAAUGGAGAUAAAUGAGUAGCAUACCUGGAAAAUGCUCUUUCGAGGUUCUAUCCUCUAAACUAUCAGAAGAAAACCUUAUCUACUCCUCCGUAGGUAUAGUAUCCGCUUCCCCCUCAACGAAACUUGCUCCUCAAGCUCUCUCCCUCUCUCUCUCAAGUCGCUCUCUGUUUUUUUCCUCACUCCCUGAAAAGAUACAAUGCUUCAGAAAACUCUCUCAAAAGCUCUUGGAGUCCUCCCCUUCUCAUUGUUCUUCCAAAAACCAACCAAAAGCCCUCUUGAAAAGAUCUUACUCUCCUCUCAAUAACUCUCAAGAAUGGCUGCCCAAAAGCACCUCCUCUAGCUCCCUCUCCUAGCUCCCGAAAACUCCCCCCUCCUAAUCACAGCCCAGCCUCCUCAAAAAGCCAUCUGCUCUCUGCCAACCUCGUCUUUUCUUUCUCUACCAGAUUUGCCCCUCUAACAAUAUCUCCAGAAACAACUACCUCCAAGCACCACUACUCUCCAGCCUCCCAUUUCUCUCUCAUACGCGUCUCAUAACGGCUGCAGAAUCCCCUUCCAGCAUAACGGCUUGUCGCUUCCUUUUCAGAAUCUUCUUUAUAGAUGUCGUAUCCUCAUUGGUCCUCCAAGCUACUAGCCUGGUUCCCUAGCAGCCAUCCACGAGUGGACAAGCGGUUCAUUGAGGGGCCUCCAUUUGGUAAGAAAGUGACCUACAGAAACGCUAAAAAGUGAGGCCCCAAAAUGGGGGUCUACAGUAAGGCAAUAAUUUCCAAAAUUCUCUUUAAUUAAUUAAAAAAAAAAUCAUUAGAAUUGAUGAUUUUUUAUCUUGACUUUACUAUACGACAAGAGUUUAAACAUUUCUAAUUCAAAUUUGAUGAUUUAAACAUUGUUAUUUCCAUUUUCAAUGAAGGAUUGAAUUAAUAUAAUUUAUGGAAUUUUAGUUUGUUAAGAAUCGGAUAGAUCAUGAGGGAAAAAUAAUGAGGUAUUGUAGACCCCCCUUUAGAGUGAUUUUAUUUUAUGAUUUUUCUUCUUCUGACCACCUGGGGAUUGAGGCUGAUGGGGGCGGUGAGAUUAGACGGAAUGCAGCGGAUAGCAGUGGAGCCGAGGAUGGCUUGCUGAGGAAGACACAAACAGAGGAAAAGAAAAAGAGAUAUCUGGGGGCUUUUCGGGAGAUGGUAAAGGGAGACAUACCGAGGAAACGAGCAGGAAAGUGGAAUAACUCAGGUAUGGAUUCUGAAAACCGGAUUCAUUAAUUAAUUAAUUUAUUUGUUUGUUUUUGAUGCCAUGUUAUGAUAGUUUCUAUGCAUGAGGAUUUUCAUUUUUGAUGUCUGAACAUGCAUAUUGUGGAUCCUUGUAAUUUAUUUAUUUUUUCUGGAAUCUGAGCUUACUUUCACCCACUCUGUGCUUGAUUCUUAAUUUCUCUUCUGAGCUCAUUGAUUGAUAUAUGGAGCGAGGCUGGUACGGGUCCAUUUUUCUCCUAUUAUUUGUGCUCUGUUUCGCUGUUUUCCCCUGUUCUUGAAAUGGGUAUUGGGGCCUGGAAACGCGGAAAUCUUAGAUAUUGUUCAUGUCAGCAAAGAGGGUGCAUUUCCCAUGCUCUCGACUUAUCAGAGAAGGAGUUUGUCCGAAGCAUUAUAUUGCCAUGGCGAGGGUGUUUACGCUGUUUCUCUUGGCUCUUCUUGCCAUUUCCAUGCUUCACACCAUUGUAUUAGCUUCGCAUGGCCAUGGCAGUCACCACUACGACCAAAAGAACUAUGGUCCGGGGAGUCUGAAGAGCUUCCAAUGCCCGUCACAGUGCUCGAAGAGGUGCAGCAAGACACAGCACUACAAACCUUGCACGUUCUUCUGUUAGAAGUGCUACCAAAAAAAGUGCCUGUGCAUUCCCCAGGGUAUUAUAGUAAUAAAGUCGUUUUCCCAGGCUACAACAAUUGAAGGCCAAGGAAGGAGGACCAAAAUGCCCCUGGUUGUUACCUUAUUUACCCUUCUCACCCAUUUUAAGUUGGCCCAUUUGCUUGCUUUAAUUUUUAAGUAAUUUUCAUGUUUCCAGCUUAAGUAAUUUAAUUUUUAAAGCCCUAAUUUCUUGGUAAAUCUUCUAAAUCCCAAUUUCUAAAUCCUAUUUUCAAAACUUACAUCUUCAAGCAAUCCUUCAAAAAUCCCAUGUCUUAAUUUAAUUUUUCAAUCCUAAAAACUAUAGAAUUCGUUUAAAUCUUAUUUUCAUCAAUUAGAAUUAUAAUCCCGUAUCUAUUUAGUUAUUUAAAGUUUAAUCCUUCAAAAAUUCCAUGUUUUAAUUUAAUCUUUUAAAUCCUAAAAACUCUACAAUUCAACUAAAUCUUAUUUUCAUUAAUUGGAAUUAUAUAAUUAUUUAAAGUCUAAUAUUUCAAAAAUUCCAUGUUUUAAUUUAAAUUUUCAAUCCUAGAAAUUCUACAAUUCGUUUAAAUUUCAUUUUCAUCAAUUAGAAUCAUCAUCCCAUAUUUAUUUAAAGUCCAAUCUUUCAAAAAUCUCAAUUUAACUUUCAACCUUAGAAAUUCUAUCAUUCGCCUAAAUGUUAUUUUCGUUAACUAGUAUUCUUAUCUCCUAUCUUUUUAUUCAUUUAAGGUCCAACUCUUCAAAAAUUCAACGUCCUAAUUUAAUUUUCAAUCUUAAAAUUCCACUACUCCUUUUCUAUUCGUUUAAAAUAUUGUUUCCGUUAAGUAGCAUUAUUAUUCCAUAUUAUCUAUUUAUUCUAAUCGUUAAAAUUUAAUUCAUCAGAAUCCGACUUCCAAAUCUAAUUCUCAAUCUCAAAAACUCCACCGUCCAUAUAUCACUGUUUAAUGAUUAUUUUCGUUAUUAUUAUUAUCCUAUUCAUUUAUUUAUUUACUUAUUCAUAUAUUUAAAAUCUCAUCUCCAAAUAAUUUCUCAAAAUUUCAAUCUCUAAAUUCAAAUCUCCAAUCUCUAAAAUUCUAUUUUUCGCAAUUAUUUACCUAAUCUUUAUAAUUUCACCAUUAUUAUUAUUCCAUUCAUUUAUUUAUUCACUCAUUCAUUUAUUAAAAUUUUGUCUUUAAAUAAUUCUUCAAAAUCCCGAUUCCCAAAUUUAGUUCUCCGAAAUUCCAAUUCCUUUCAAAUUUAAUUUCUAAAAUUCUCAUUCUUGUAUUUAAUUUCAAAAUUCCAAUUUUCAAAUAAACUUUAAAACUCCAAUUUUCUAGUGAUCUUCGAGAUUCUAAUUUUUCAAUUAAAUUUCAAAAAUCUAAUUUUCUCUCAAAUAGCUUUAAUUCCGCUCUGGUUUUCAAAUGAUCUUCUGCUCCUCUUGGUUUUACAUAAGCAAGAAUAAUGAAUUUUCAUAAUUCCAAAAUAAUGGAAUUUGUGAGAUCAAUUCAUGCAAGAUCAAUCGGGCUUUGGUGGGGGCCCAACAUACGUGAUUUCCUUAUGAUUGAUUGAUUGUUUGUUUGAUUUAAUUGCCAUACAUGAUCGAUUUUAUUCUGCUCUAUGACAUGCUCGAAAUUAUUCCUUAAUUGUGCGCUAACCUCACUUCUUGAUAGCGCUUUAUGGAUCACUGCCCAAGUAUGCAUCCACACUCGCUCGGGUCAUUUUCUGUAUGCAUGUUUAGAUUCUCACAUGUGCAUGAUCACUUUGAGUAUUCAUUGAUUCCCUCAUCAAUUGUCAUGAUUGCUUCAUUUUAUUAGUAGAGACCCGACUUUAGAGACUUAAAGGGGUGCUACGGUCUUUACCGUACCUUCCCGAUAAGUAACCUGACCCCCGAACCCGAUCCGGUUUUUCACAGACCGCCUUUUCCAAAAUAAGGAGUCACACUUAGGGUUUUUCUUUCUUAUUUUGUUUACCCUUUCAAAAAUAAAACAAAAAUAAGUGGCGACUCCAAGUCAGUUUUUUUUUAAUCAAAUAAAAAAAUCAAUUUUUCAAAUAAAAAUCGAGCUCGCCAUCGAGUGGGAAACGCAUGAGCUCGAAAUGCGGGGUCCACAGGUAUGCAAUAGAAGAAUUAUGGUUUCAAUUUUGAAAUUUUUUGGAUUGAUUUUAGAUUAAUUUCUUAUUCAAAUUAAAUUAUUUGUAUAUUGUCUUGUUUUAUUUUUAAGUAAUAAUCCAUCAAAAAUAAAUAAAUAUCUAAAUUUUCUUAAGAAAUUGAAAAAAAAAAUGAAAAGAGAACCUAUUUGAAUCAUAUGAUUCAUAUUAUUUUUUCUUAAUAACAUAUUUACUAAUUUACAUAAAGUUGUCCAUAAUUUUCAAAAAUAGAUUUAAUCUUGUUAUAAGUAAUCAACAACUAUCUUUUUGUCAAAAACAAUUACCAAAUAUGGUUCUAAGUUUGAAAAUUUGUUUUCAAAAACAAUCCUCAAGCAAAUUCUUAGGUCCAUUUGGCUAUGUUUUUUAAAACUUGUUUUUAAAAUAGCAAACAAAAACAGUUUUUUUUUUUUAAUUUUUAAAAAGCAAGAGCAUUUGGCAAAUGCAUUUCAUAAAAAACUUGUUUGAAUGAAAGAAUUUGUAUUGUUUUUAAAGACAAUGUCUUACUUUUAUUGUAUAAGAAUUUUAUAAAUUUAGUUUAUAUUAAUGUAAAAUCAAAUUCAAGUUACGUUUCAUUUAAAAAAAAUAAAAAAUAAAUUUACAACUAUAUAUAAGUUAAAGAUAAAUAAUUUUUUUUAAUUAUGAAAUAAUUUUUUUAUUCUAGUGAAACAAAAAUUACUAUUUUAGUAUUUAUUUUUAAUACAAAUCAAAUAUGUCCUUUAAUUUUAUUUUUUUUCCAUUUGGCCAUGAUUUUUUAAAAAUUGUUUUUUAAGUUAAAGAACAUAAAACAAUUUUUUAAUGUUUUAUAAAAUAAGGUAUUUGUCAAGUUGUUUAUAAAAAAAAUGCUUUAAAAAUAAAAAUAAAACCAAUUUGUUUGGAUAAGUUGUUUUUAAAAAUAAAUUUUCUAUUUUGAUUUUAUAAAAAUAUUAUAAAUUCAAUUUAUAUAACAUUAAUUAAAUUUAAUUGAAGUCUUAUUGAAAAUAAAAAUAAUUUUGUAUUACAAAGAAAUUCAAAAGAAAUAUUUUUUAGUAAAACAUGAAUAGUAUAUAUUAUAAUAAAAUCAUCAAUUAUAUUUUUAAUAAAAAAUAUACUAUUUUAUUAUAUGUUAGAAACAUAAGAAUAUUAACAUAUUUUUGUAAAAAAAAAUGUGCCGUAAAAAUAAAUAAUAAUAAUUUAAAAAUAAUAAUUGUCAAUAGUAUUUUAUUUAAAAUGAAUAAUGAAUAAAGUUUAACUUUUUAACAUGUGAGUCAAGUUUUAUUACAUGCAUACAUUUAGUACUCAAUUUCUACAAUUAAUUGGAUCAAUUUUUUUAUUGCAAAUUAUUCUUAAAAGUUAAAGGAUUUGUUAAAAAAAUUAAAUUAUUAAUUAUGUUUUACUUAAUUUAUAAUUUAUUUACCUAGGAAAAAAAAAUUUUAAAUAGUUGUAUGUAUAGAAGAAAUAUUAAAGUCAUGACUCAUUAUACAUCAAUUUUAUUCUUCCUUUUUUUUUUUUUUUGCUUUGAUGACUAAAUGAUCUAUUUUUGAGUUCCAAACUAAGCACCUGUAAUCGCAGCUCCCGCUCCUUGGAUUUGCGUUCUCAGAUUGGAGAUGCACCAGUCAAAACACACCGCGAACAGACACCAAAACAGAGAAAAAAUAGAGAGGAAAAUUGAUAGAACCAAACAAAGAUGGGUGAGAUGGGAGUUGGUUAAGCAAGACCUGGUCUCAUAAUUCAUCCACAGGCUUACCAACUAGUGGGGGAAGAAAUGGAUUUAAAGAGAAAUGAUAAGAAGAAGACCUUGAGAUACCACGCGGACAAAACUGGUCCAGAUUCACAUCAUUUCUCUCAAAAUGAACCCAGAAAAAAAUAUAUGAACAUGUAGUCAUAGCGAAUCCAAUGAAAACAUAGAAAUCAACAAGAGCAACCACAUGAUAUCCACACGCAAACUGCUAAAUAACACCCAGCUAGGAACAGAGGGGAGCGAAUAACAGAAGAAUAAUGGAGAUAAAUGAGUAGCAUACCUGGAAAAUGCUCUUUCGAGGUUCUAUCCUCUAAACUAGCAGAAGAAAACCUUAUCUACUCCUCCGUAGGUACAGCACCCCCUCAACGAAACUUGCCUCUCAAGCUCUCUCCCUCUCUCUCUCAAGUCGCUCUCUGUUGUUUUCCUCACUCCCUGAAAAGAUACAAUGCUUCAGAAAACUCUCUCAAAAGCUCUUGGAGUCCUCCCCCCCCCUCCCCCUUCUCACUGUUCUUCCAAAAACCAACCAAAAGCCCUCUUGAAAAGAUCUUACUCUCCUCUCAAUAACUCUCCAGAAUGGCCGCCCAAAAGCACCUCCUCUAGCUCCCUCUCCUAGCUCCCGAAAACUCCCCCCUCCUAAUCACAGCCCAGCCUCCCCAAAAAGCCAUCUGCUCUCUGCCAACCUCGUCUUUUCUUUCUCUACCAGAUUUGCCCCUCUAACAAUAUCUCCAGAAACAGCUACCUCCAAGCACCACUACUCUGCAGCCUCCCCUUUCUCUCUCAUACGCGUCUCAUAACGGCCUGCAGAAUCCCCUUCCAGCAUAACGGCUUGUAGCUUCCUUUUCAGAAUCUUCUUUACAGAUGUCGUAUCCUCAUUGGUCCUCCAAGCUACUAGCCUGAUUCCCUAGCAGCCAUCCACGAGUCGACAAGUGGCUCAUUAAGGGGCCUCCAUCUGGUAAGAAAGUGACCUACAGAAACGCUAAAAAGUGAGGGCCCAAAAUGGGGGUCCACAGUAAGGCAAUAAUUUCCAAAAUUCUCUUUAAUUAAUUAAAAAAAAAAUCAUUAGAAUUGAUGAUUUUUUAUCUUCACUUUACUAUACGACAAGAGUUUAAACAUUUCUAAUUCAAAUUUGAUGAUUUAAACAUUGUUAUUUCCAUUUUCAAUGAAGGAUUGAAUUAAUAUAAUUUAUGGAAUUUUAGUUUGUUAAGAACCGGAUAGAUUAUGAGGGAAAAAUAAUGAGGUAUGCAAUAGAAGAAUUAUGGUUUCAUUUUUGAAAUUUUUUGGAUUGAUUUUAGAUUAAUUUCUUAUUCAAAUUAAAUUAUUUGUAUAUUGUCUUGUUUUAUUCUUAAGUAAUAAUCCAUCAAAAAUAAAUAAAUAUCUAAAUUUUCUUAAGAAAUUGAAAAAAAAAAAAAACAUGAAAAGAGAACCUAUUUGAAUCAUAUGAUUCAUAUUAUUUUUUCUUAAUAACAUAUUUACUAAUUUACAUAAAGUUGUCCAUAAUUUUCAAAAAUAGAUUUAAUUUUGUUAUAAGUUAUCAACAACUAUCUUUUUGUCAAAAACAAUUACCAAAUAUGGUUCUAAGUUUGAAAAUUUGUUUUCAAAAACAACCCUCAAGCAAAUUCUUAGGUCCAUUUGGCUAUGUUUUUUAAAACUUGUUUGAAUGAAAGAAUUUGUAUUAUUUUUAAAGACAAUGUCUUACUUUUAUUGUAUAAGAAUUUUAUAAAUUUAGUUUAUAUUAAUGUAAAAUCAAAUUCAAGUUAAGUUUCAUUUAAAAAAAAUAAAAAUUAAAUUUACAACUAUAUAUAAGUUAAAGAUAAAUAAUUUUUUUUAAUUAUGAAAUAAUUUUUUUAUUCUAGUGAAACAAAAAUUACUAUUUUAGUAUUUAUUUUUAAUACAAAUCAAAUAUGUCCUUUAAUUUUAUUUUUUUUCCAUUUGGCCAUGAUUUUUUAAAAAUUGUUUUUUAAGUUAAAGAACAUAAAACAAUUUUUUAAUGUUUUAUAAAAUAAGGUAUUUGUCAAGUUGUUUAUAAAAAAAAUACUUUAAAAAUAAAAAUAAAACCAAUUUGUUUGGAUAAGUUGUUUUUAAAAAUAAAUUUUCUAUUUUGAUUUUAUAAAAAUAUUAUAAAUUCAAUUUAUAUAACAUUAAUUAAAUUUAAUUGAAGUCUUAUCGAAAAUAAAAUUAAUUUUGUAUUACAAAGAAAUUCAAAAGAAAUAUUUUUUAGUAAAACAUGAAUAGCAUAUAUUAUAAUAAAAUCAUCAAUUAUAUUUUUAAUAAAAAAUAUACUAUUUUAUUAUAUGUUAGAAACAUAAGAAUAUUAACAUAUUUUUGUAAAAAAAAAAAAAUUUUUGCUGUAAAAAUAAAUAAUAAUAAUUUAAAAAUAAUAAUUGUCAAUAGUAUUUUAUUUAAAAUGAAUAAUGAAUAAAGUUUAACUUUUUAACAUGUAAAUGAGUCAAGUUUUAUUACAUGCAUACAUUUAGUACUCAAUUUCUACAAUUAAUUGGAUCAAAUUUUUUUAUUGCAAAUUAUUCUUAAAAGUUAAAGGAUUUGUUAAAAAAAUUAAAUUAUUAAUUAUGUUUUACUUAAUUUAUAAUUUAUUUACCUAGUAAAAAUUUUUUUUAAAUAGUUGUACGUAUAGAAGAAAUAUUAAAGUCAUGACUCAUUAUACAUCAAUUUUAUUCUUUUUUUUUUUUUUUGCUUUGAUGACUAAAUGAUCUAUUUUUGAGUUCCAAAUUAUUUUUAAAAAAAAUUAAAUUCAAUAAAAACUAUCACUUGAUUUGAAGUUUAUUUUUCUAGUGGAAAAAUUUAUAAAAAUAUAGUUAUGUGUAGAAAAGAAAUAAUAGAGUCAUUAUAAACUAAUUUUUAUCCAUGAAAUUAUGGUAUUAAUAAAGUAUUGUUAAUAAAUCCAACCUAUUAAAUUUUAUUUAAUUUUAAGUUCAUUUACUUAGUGAAAAAAAAAAAAUCAUAACAUAAUGAUUCUAUAUAGAAGAGAAAUAUUAAAGUUGUCUUAAAUUAAUUUUUAUUCAUAAUAGAAGAGAAAUAUUAGAGUUCUUAUAAAUUAAUUUUUAUUCAUAACAUUCUAAUAUUAAUUGGGUCACUAUUUAAGUUUUAAAUUAUUUUUAAAAUUUUCUAAAUUCAUUAAUGAAUUUAACACAUUAAGUGUUGUUUAAUUUGGAAUUCAUUUAUCUAAUGAAAAAAAUCAAAAAUAAUAAUUCUAUAUAAAAGAAAAAUAAUAGUUAUUUUAAACUCAUUUUAUUGGUAAAUUUUUUAUAUUAAUUGAAUCAGUAUUUAAGUUUUAAGUUGUUAUAUAUAGUUACUAUCUAUUUCACUUUAUUUUUAAAAAAUUAAAAAUAGAAAAACAAUAUCAAUGUUAUGAAUUUUUAAAAAUUAUUUUCUAUUUUUAAAUCACUCGUCAGAUGGGCUCUUAUUUUCUUAUAAAUUACCAUAUUGAAUUUUUGGGGCUUGACAUGGUAACUAGAAGAAGCCAACCAAAAUUAAAUUUGCAACCCCUCCUAAAAUAUUAAUCCAACAAUACUCAAAAAUCAUUUUUGGUCAGCUCUCCCUCUUUUAUGAGCUUGAAGCCUUCCACAACAUCAUUUCUCUCAAACUAGCCAUUGGGGAAGACCGUGAUAACUCUCUCUCUUCCCUCUCCCGCCCAACCCCUCCCCUCCUUCCACCUUCUUUCAAAACCCUAAGCCCUCCCCGCCAAAACAUUAUCCCCAACCCGCAUUCUCACAAAAACCCCAACUUCGAGCCCCUCAAGAACCGUCAGAUCCGCCAACUCGACGUGGGCCACCUCAACCAUGCACUCUCCUCCCUUGAUCUCAUGACCCUGCAAAACGCCCCACCAGACCUCACCACCUACUCCAUCCUCCUCAAGUCCUGCAUCCGAUUCCGCAACUUCCAACUCCGGAAACUCGUCCACCGGAAGCUAAUUCAGUCUGGACUUGAGCUCGACUCGGUUGUGUUGAACACUCUGAUCAGCUUGUACUCCAAAUGUGGCGACACCGCAACCGCUAGGUUGAUUUUUGAGGGAAUGGAAAAUAAGAGACUUGGUUUCAUGGAGUGCGAUGGUCUCAUGUUUUGCGAUUAACAGCAUGGAGUUGCAAGCAAUUUGGACAUUUUUUUUAUUUUCUCGAAUUGGGUUUUUACCCAAAUGAGUAUUGCUUUGUGGUCAUGAUUCGGGCUUGUUCAAUGAGUUGGGGAGAUAAUUUAUGGGUUUGUGGUGAAAACCGGGUAUUUUGAGGCUGAUGUGUGUGUUGGGUGUGAAUUGAUUGAUGUGUUCGUGAAGGGUAGUGGUGACUUGGGCUCAGGUUAUAAGGUGUUCGAGAAAAUGCCAGAGAGAAAUUUGGGUACUUGGACUUUGAUGAUAACUAGAUUUGCGCAAUUUGGUUGUGCCAGAGAUGCGAUUGAAUUGUUUUUGGAUAUGGAAUUGAGUGGUCAUGCACUGGAUCGGUUUACAUAUGGUAGUGUCCUUUCUGCUAGUACAGUGUCAGGAUUGUUAGCACUAGGGAAGCAAUUGCAUUCCCAAGUUAUACGUUUGGGAUUGGCUUCAGAUGUUUGUGUUGGUUGUAGCUUGGUGGACAUGUAUGCAAAGUGUACAGCAGAUGGGUCCGUGGAUGAUUUGAGGAAGGUAUUUGAUCGGAUGCCUGAGCAUAAUGUUAUGUCUUGGACCGCAAUUAUCACAGCAUAUGUGCAAAUUGGAGAGUGUGAUAAGGAAGCUAUUGAACUUUUCUGCAAGAUGAUAUCUGGCCGUGUACAGCCUAAUCAUUUCUCAUUUUCAAGUGUUCUCAAGGCAUGUGGAAACCUUUCUGAUCCUUAUAAACAUGCUUUAAGGGAAAUGGAGAAAUUUAUUAGAUAAUUCAAGGUGAAUACAGAAGACUACCCUCGGUCCAAGGGUGCCAAGGAACUGCCUCUGGCUAAAACAUUACCUUGGUACAUAUAUGGAUCUUACAGAAGCACUAACCCUUGCAUCUAAACCAAUCAACCACAAAGUAUUACAGGACAGAGAAUGAGAGUAGCUAUUGCGAGGCACUACCUUCCCUCCAAGCUGAUCGUCAUUGUCGCAUUUCGUGAAGAAAUUGGUACCCCAACUGGAUUGUUCAUAUGAUCCUCAACUGACAUCUCCCUGGAGUAUAGAGUAGGCCUGGGGGGCAUUUGCAGGAGUUCAACUUCACCUUCUAGCAUCUCCAAUGCCUUGCUCAUUGAAGGACGAUCCGUGGGAUUCAUCUGUACACACCAUAAUGCAACUAUGACUAUCUUCCGUAUAUACUUGUGUUCGUCCUCAGUGGCAUCUCCAAUUUCCAUGUCUUCUCCUUGAUCUAUUCGAUCAUAAAUCCAUGACGGGAAGUAUGUUUGGCUUUGCUCUAGACAUGUAUUUGCAUGCUUCCUUUUUUCCCACCAUUUCCAUUAAUAACAUUCCAAAACUAUACACAUCAGCUUUAUAUGAAACACCUCCAAUGUUCUUGUAGAAUAAUUCUGGAGCAAUAUAUCCUAAUGUUCCUCGAGCAGUAGUUAGAGACACAAUGCUUUCUUCUAUUGAAUGUAAUUUUGCAAGGCCAAAAUCAGAAACUUUGGGGAUAAAGUUUGCAUCAAGAAGAAUGUUGUGCGGCUUGAUAUCAAAAUGCAGAAUUUGCAUGUCACAACCUUGAUGUAAGUAUUCAAUCCCACAACCCACACCUAGUGCAAUCUUAUAUAAUCUUUCCCAACUCAGAAGAAUGUUGUUUUCAAGUUUAGAAAAAAGAAACUUAUCAAGGGACCCAUUAGGCAUAUAUUCAUAUACCAGAGCCCAUUUUAAUCCCUCUGCACAAAAUCCACAGUCGCACUAACAUUAACAUGGUGAAUCCUUCCAAUUGUGGCUACUNNNNNNNNNNNNNNNNNNNNNNNNNNNNNNNNNNNNNNNNNNNNNNNNNNNNNNNNNNNNNNNNNNNNNNNNNNNNNNNNNNNNNNNNNNNNNNNNNNNNAAGGGAAAUGGAGAAAUUUAUUAGAUAAUUCAAGGUGAAUACAGAAGACUACCCUCGGUCCAAGGGUGCCAAGGAACUGCCUCUGGCUAAAACAUUACCUUGGUACAUAUAUGGAUCUUACAGAAGCACUAACCCUUGCAUCUAAACCAAUCAACCACAAAGUAUUACAGGACAGAGAAUGAGAGUAGCUAUUGCGAGGCACUACCUUCCCUCCAAGCUGAUCAUCAUUGUCGCAUUUCGUGAAGAAAUUGGUACCCCAACUGGAUUGUUCAUAUGAUCCUCAACUGACAUCUCCCUGGAGUAUAGAGUAGGCCUGGGGGGCAUUUGCAGGAGUUCAACUUCACCUUCUAGCAUCUCCAAUGCCUUGCUCAUUGAAGGACGAUCCGUGGGAUUCAUCUGUACACACCAUAAUGCAACUAUGACUAUCUUUCUUAUAUACUUGUGUUCGUCCUCAGUGGCAUCUCCAAUUUCCAUGUCUUCUCCUUGAUCUAUUCGAUCAUAAAUCCAUGACGGGAAGUAUGUUUGGCUUUGCUCUAGACAUGUAUUUGCAUGCUUCCUUUUUCCCACCAUUUCCAUUAAUAACAUUCCAAAACUAUACACAUCAGCUUUAUAUGAAACACCUCCAAUGUUCUUGUAGAAUAACUCUGGAGCAAUAUAUCCUAAUGUUCCUCAAGCAGCAGUUAGAGACACAAUGCUUUCUUCUAUUGAAUGUAAUUUUGCAAGGCCAAAAUCAGAAACUUUUGGGAGAAAGUUUGCAUCAAGAAGAAUGUUGUGUGGCUUGAUAUCAAAAUGCAGAAUUUGCAUGUCACAACCUUGAUGUAAGCAAUGAUGAAAAUAUCGGUAAUCACGGAUAUAUCGGUAACUUGAUUUUACGGAUAUAUCGGAGAAAUAUCGACGGAUAUUUUGGAAAAAAAAUUUUGAUAGGUAAAAAAUUGAUUAAAAUUCAUAAAAAUGUAAAAAAAACCUCAUAACAAUAUAAUUAGAAGUAUAAUAGAUAAUUUAAAUUUAUUUUGUUGAAUAAUUUGAUAUAUAUAUUAUAUGAUUUGCGAUAUUAUAUGUAAUUAUAUUAUGUGGGUUAAUAAAAAAUAUGAAUUUUGUAAUUACGCAUUCAUUAUCAAGUUUCAUACAAAAUUUGAUUUUAUUAAAUAUAAAUAAUUUAUAUAUAUUAACUUGAUUUCAUUAAAUACCAAUAAUUUGUAUAUAUUAUCACAUAGAUGUUGGGGCUCACUUUGGAUCGUUCGAUCACAUUUUGGACCAUCACCAUCGAGUCAUGAUUUGUUUCCAUUUUUUUUUUUUUAUCUCUACUAAAUUUUUAAAAAAUCAAAAGGCCACCCAUCCGAAAAGCCUUUUGCUGAAGACCCGCUUCUCUCACUCAGGCAUCAAAAAGCCCUUGACUGAAGCUGCCCUCCGGACGAGAGAAUCGGCCCCAAUUUGCUCUUUCACUCUCAAUCCUCGCAGGUUCUAAUUGAAUCAUUUAUUACCUUUUUUUUUUUGCAACCCCUGUUUGAUUCCCAAGAAAAUCCAUCCCCCAUUCAAUUUCCGGGAAAAUCCAUCCCCCAUUCGAUUUCCGGGAAAAUUCAUCCUCGUUUGAUUUCCGAGAAAAUUCAUCCUCGUUUGAUUUCCGAGAAAAUCCGUGCAAAACCCUCAAGGAAAACCAAAAAAAUUGCUUUUUUUUUUUUCUCCCUGUGUUUUCUGAUCUGUUCUAGGGUCGCUUUGCUUUUGUGCCAUUGGAUUUAAAUUUCACGAACCCUAAAUCCGUGAUUUUUGAGCCAGGCUGAAAAACAACCUUUGCCUGCAAGUCAUGAUCAAAUUACUAGUCAAUUUCAUAAUCAUUUCAUAAUUAGAGUGAAAAAAUAUUUUUCUUUUCUAUUAUUAUUUAUGAAUGUGUAGUUAGCAAAUGUUGUAAUGAAUGGUUCAUGAUGAAUGGGAUUUUUGUACAAUAAACUAUUUUUUAGGCUCACUUUUGAAUUAAGGCCAUACUUAUCUUUUAACAUAAGUCUUAAAAUGUAAUAAAAUAUUUAAUAAAAUUACGUUCUAUUUAGGCUUAAGUCAAAUUAUAAUUUAUUUAGUUUUAAGAUAAAUUAAACAAAUCUCAUUCAAAAAUUUAAGGCUUACAACAUCAAUUUUCCUUUUUUUUCCACUAAUUUUCCUAUUCAGUAAUGAGAUGCUCUAAAGAGCUUAUUGUUUUCUUAUUAUUAAGAGAAAAAUCAUUAAAAAAAGAAAACUAAUCAUACAAUUUACGAGGAAAUUAAUAAAAAUUAAAAUUAGAAUUUGGACAACCUUACAUUAAUUAACUAAAGGCAUCCUUUUCCAAAUUGGGAAAUGCAAGGAAUACCAAGAUUGGUUCACUAUUAAAAGCAAAUUCCAUGAAGGUAACUAGAAUGCUAAUUGAAACUCACAAAAAUAGAAUAAUUUAAAGUCACUUUAUCUAAAUUACUCUAAAGGUAGGCAUGAAGAGAAAGAUAUACAAUUACAAACAAAAAAGUGAUCUCUCAUGAGUCCAAGUUACAAUCCCUUGCCUAAAAAAUGAUACAUGCAUCAAUUUCUUUCCUCAUGGGGCCUUAGGGACAUAGGAGACUGAACUAGUCAAGUUUGAGAGGCUAAAUGCCAACUGACAGUCAUUGUCAUAAUUAGUAUCCAAAAAAUAUGAUAAGAUUCAUAACACAAUGACUGAGAUAUUCCAUGGAGAUGACAACAUGUUGCUAAAAGAAUUGAUUGGUACCUAAUAUUCCAUGGAAAAAGUUGUAUAAAUAAGAUAGAACCCGUUAAACUAGCUUGGAGGUUUAGAAAUUCAUAAAAAUUAGUUAUAUUAUGAACUAGCUUGGUGGCUUUAAUGUCAAUCAAGCAAGACAAAUCCAAAAAUUCAAUUAAUUUAUCCUCUUCCUAAAAUUCAUAAUUGAGAGGUUCAUGGGUUCUUCCUUUUAUCUCAUCCAGCUCAUUGGAUAUUUCAGGAAGGCAAAGGAAUCAAGUCCCUCCAAGUGCAAGGACAAAUCUCCAUUUAGUACCAAGAAAAUGAACUCAAUGAGUACCCCUAUAUACAAUGGGCCACACAAAUUGAAAAUAGACCCCAUAUACAAUAGACCACAUAAAGAAUAAAUCAUAGUGAUACAAUGGUCACACAUAUAUAAUGGACUAUAUAGUUGUAUGAACCACACAAAUUGAAAAUAGACCCUAUAUAUGAUGGACCACAUAAAGAAAGAAACAUAGUGAGAAAUUGGUCGCAUACAUACAAUGGACUAUAUGGUCCACGACCAUUAGUGAGAAAUAGUCGAUUAUAAAAAUUCAUAGACUUCUUGAAAUGAUGAUGCUUAUGGGGAUGAUUUAAAAAUUUUAAAGUCUUUUUUUUUAAAAAAAAAAAAAUAGACACAUAGCAAUAGGUUUCACAUGAUUCAACAAUGUAGUUAUAUCCAUCGUUGAGUUAGGAAACUUUUUAAUAACAAAUCCCAACUCCCAAAGAACUAAUGUAAGUGGUUUUCGAUAAGGAAAUAUGUACUUUCAACUAACACACUGAAGGUUUAUUUGCAAAUAUUUUUAAAAUUAGUUUUUAUUUUUUAAAACAAAAAUAAUUUUCCAACCUCAAAAAUACAUCUAACAGAUUUUAGAAUAAAAAUAUCAUGAAAACAGAGUGAUUGGAGGUUUUUUUUUUUUUUUUUUUUCAUUUUGCAUGGUAAAUUACAUUCACCUAUAACUAAUAAAGAAAACCAUAUUUUAGAAUUUCAAAUAGAAUUUUAUUCCUAAAAAUGAUAUAAAAUUGUUUUUACAAAUUGUUCUCAAAAAAUUAUUUUUCAAAUUUUUUUUUGAAAAUAUUAUCCACCAUGCCUCAAAUUUUCUUACGAGAACCUAAUCUUGCAAUUUCUUAGAUCUAAUUUGCAAGAUGCAAAAGAAUGCUGCGAGAUCUUCGCAAGUAACAAGGCAACAAAUGACAUGAGAACAAGUCCUCCUAGCUACCUUAAUAGUACUAAGCUUUUCCCAAGAAAGCAAGACAUAAUGACUAACGUUAUUUGCUUGAGGCUAGUUUUUUAAUAAGCUCCCUUAUAGUUGCUUACCUAACCUCAAAGCCUACUCUCUUUGGAGAACAAGAGUCUUCCACAUUUUUUAUUUUUUGAGAUCCAUCUGCAAACUUUAAUGGAAGAUCUCAAUUAGUGCAAGGAAAGAAACAAUUAAUAAAGGUGGAGCCUCAAAAGCAACCUAUUUUAUUAAACUAUAGCAUAAAUAACGAGAUUACAUUAUCACCAUUUAUUACAACAUGAUUAUUACCCAAAUUAAACACUCAUAAUAGACAACUUCUUAUUCUAUUUCUGAUAUGAUUGUCAACUCUGGUUGGAUAGAUGUUUUACGUCUUCUAACACUUGUCCUUGUUUGUCCCAUAGAGGUAAAAGGAUUAGGAGGCAUAACUAAAUUGCCUUCUUCUCCUUCCAACAUUCCAACCACAAUUUUCAUGGAAGGACGAUCUAUUGGAUACCAUUGGAUACACCAAAGCCCUAUGAUGCUUAGUUUCUUUGCUAUUUUAAUAUCACUUUCGUCCUCAAUUCGGAUGUGUACCUCUUGCUCUUGAUCCAAAUGAUUAUAGAGCCAUUCUGGGAAGUAUGCUUGACUAGUAUUUUCUACUGUAGCAUCAAUAUUCUUCCUUCCCCCUACCAUUUCAAUCAACAACAUACCAAAACUAUAAACAUCUGACUUAGAAGACACAUUCCCAAAAUUUCUUGAUAACAUUUCUGGUGCAAUAUAACCCAUGGUCCCUCUUGCUGCUGUCAUAGAUACUGCACUUUGCUCCUUAGAGCAUAAUUUGGCUAAACCAAAAUCAGAAAUCUUCGGAUUAAAGUUAUGAUCAAGCAAAAUAUUAUGAGGUUUGAUAUCCAAAUGAAGGAUUCUUUGAUCACAACCUUGGUGAAGAUACUCAAUACCUUUAGCUAUGCCAACAACAAUAUCUUGAAGUUUAUGCCAACCUAGAGAAUAAUUAUUGCCAAAUGCUGAAAAUAUGAACUUGUCUAGUGACUCAUUUGGUAAAAAUUCAUAAAUCAAAGCUCGCUUAUAUCCAUCUGCACAAAACCCGAGCAACCGAACCACGUUAACAUGAUGUAUGGUACUCAUUGUUCCUACUUCAUUAAUGAAAUCUUCCCCGUUUCCUUUGAAAUCAUCAAGGAUCUUUACUGCAACAAAAACUUCAUUUGAGAGCUUUCCUUUAUAAACAGUCCCAUAACCUCCUUGACCUAGUUUGUCCUUGAAAUUAUUUGUGAUCUUUUUAAUAUCAGCAUAGGAGUACCUUGAGGGCUUGAGAGCUCUAUAAUCUUCCAAAAACUUUUGAAUAUUUACUCUAUGCUCUCUUUUCAACUUAUUAGAGCGAUAGACAAUAAAUAUUAUAAAGAUUCCAAAAGUGAAAUGAAGGAAACCAAGGAUUGCUUCUGCACAUAGGGGAAAAAAAGUUUCUAUAAGUAAUUGAAACAAGAAAAAAAAAAAAAAAAAAAGACAAACUAAGAAUCAUCAUCAUGAUGUCACCCUCAUUAUUGAAAAGAAUAUGAAUAGGAAAUCACCUGUAAGCACCAUUUUAUCCAUUGGAGCACCUGUAAAAGAUAGUAAACUUAUUAGCUUUUUGUAUUCUUUUAAUUAGUAAAAUCAUAAUAGAUUGCAUGACGUUGUAACAUGAGUAUAGUUAUUUUUGGUGUAUUUGGAUUUCAACCUUGGCCUUUGCAGUCCUUUCUACAGGUUCGAUUGUUUUAGCUAAGCCUAAUUGUUGUAGCUAGCUUGUAAUGAAUAAAUAAUAUUGCAUGUUCAGAUCCAUUACUAUAGUAGUUAAUUUGGUUCACAUCCAUAAGGGUUCAAUCCAAUUUUAUGGUACAAACAGAGAAUACUAUAGAAAAUUUCAUGUGCAUAUUAACAUCAUAGUAGGAGAUAAGAAAGGGCUUGCAAGGUGAAAAUGAUGAAGAAGCGGGAUUUAGUACCUUUUGCUGGUUUAUCAAUGCAUUCGAUUUCAGGUUCCGUGCUAUUAUUCUUCUUCCGUUGGCACUUGUUUCCUUUUGCUUCACAGUUUCCGCACAUAGGUUUUGACCAAUUCAUAUAAAAUUCCCUUUCAUGAUCAAACAUAUAAUUAUCUGGGAGUGUAGCAUUGAAAAUCUUCUGGCAAGAGGAUAAGUUCACUUCAGCGAGAGAGUAAGAGGAAGGAGCGACAUAAACUGGGUUACUUGAGAGAAUACUGUAAGGGAUGGACCAAAGUUGAUUAUCAGCAUAUGAUAGCUGAUUUGUUAUAUCUUCAGAACAAUUGAUUUCAGGUUCCCUGCUAUUAUUCUUCUUCCGUUGGCACUUGUUUCCUUUUGCUUCACAGUUUCCGCACAUAGGUUUUAACCACUUCAUCCAAAAUUCCCCUUCAUUUAUAUAAAAAAAUGGGAGUGUAGCAUUGAAAAUCUUCCGGCAAGAUGAUAAGUUCACUCCAGCAAGAGUGUAAUAGGAAGGAGCGACAUAAACUGGGUUACUCGAGAGAAAACUGCAAGGGAUGGACCUAAGCUCAUAUAUCUCUGCUUUACUUUCAGAACAAUUGAAGAAGGAGAAGUCGUUUGUGUAGUAUGUGAAGAAAGAGGCAGGUAAAUUAAGGUUUAGAAUCUGCCUUGGAAGGCAAUCAUCCGGGUAUUGGACAAAAAUCUCCUGAGAAGUGUAAUUUAUUUCCUUCACCCAGAGUAUUACUGAAGAGGGCAGCUCUAGUAUGGUCCGCUUCUCUUCUGAGCAUGAUAACUCAAACUCCGGAUAUCCACAGUGUUCUGGCUGGUGUUUUAGCCUGAACGGAAACCGGAUGACUGGACCAUGGUGACUGCACCUUGACGCCUUGCACUCAUCAUCUUGGCUCCCUCCAUUAAUCUCUGCAAACAAUCUCAUAAACAAGAAGAAGAAGAAUAAAGAGAUGCCCAUUUUUAAGCAACUGCUUAUCUCUAUAGUUUUAAUUUGCACUGCUUCUCCCCUACUUUAUAUAUAUGUAAUUAGAUUUGAAAAUUUUGUACAAAGGGAAGCAGGAGCUUUUAGGGAAUACAAAAAAGAUGGAGGACUGCUACAAUAAAAAUUUAGUUUUAUCUCAGAAUAUAAAAUUUACUUGAAAAAAUUGGUCUAUCAGUAUUUACUAACAUGCCGUAUGAGUAAAGAAAGAUGAUAAAGAUGAUCCUUCUUUAUCCUUUUUCCCAUUGUUGAGACCUAAAAAUUAGGUAAUAUUUAAAACAUAAACAAUUCCAAUAUAAACCAUAAUACUUCAAGCAUCAUUUUUAACAUAGUGAUUCUAAAUAAUGGGAAGCUCACAGUUGGCUGGAUGUGAUAGGAUGAAAGUGUGGUCCCUGUUGAAAAAUCAAACAGUUUGGGGAAGAAUAACAUGUUGAAGAAAGCUGAUUAAAACAGAGUAUCUCUCUCUCUGUGGAACUCACAACCCAAAAACAGAGCAUCUCUCUCUCUCUCUCUCUCUCUCUCUCUCUCUCUAAAAGUUGAUAAUGUUAAGGGAGGCACAACUCGUGGGAGUAGGCCUCAUGACAGUAGUCAUCCAUGCCUGCUUCCUUUCAGUUUGUGUUGCUAAGCAUCACAAGUACCAGAUAUGCAGCCCCUCUUCCUGCGGAGAUAUGAGGAACAUUUCCUACCCUUUUCGAUUACAAGACGAUCCCCCCAGCUGCGGUUACCCUGAGUACCAAUUGAUUUGUGAAAACAAUCGUACUAUGAUAAACCUGCACGGUGGGAAAUACUUGGUUACCCAGAUCAACUACCAUAAUUAUACAAUUCGGGUAGUGGAUCCUGGGAGAAAGAAGGACAACUGUUUGAUCUCCAGUCCUCUUCAUUCCAUUGGUGCAUAUUACACUGAUUAUGAAUCUCCAUAUUAUUUGCCUUAUGAAUGGAAAGCUGGUGUUUAUUCUCCUUCGGUUUCUGCACCAACAUUCUAUACAAUAGUUUUGAUGAACUGUGAGCAGUCAAUCAGGGACGACAACUAUAUUCAUAUAAUUCCAUGCAACACUAGAGGCUCUUCAUCUUCCUCACCAACAUACACUUAUGCAGUUGUCGGAGACUAUGUGUCGGUGGGAGAUAUUCCGUAUUCAUGUACCAUCGGCACAUCUAUUAUUAUUCAACCGUUGAAGUCACUUCGAGAGCCCAGCAAUCUUUCGAUGUCAGAUUUGCAAAAUUAUAUGCUUCUGGGGCUUCAGCUUUCAUUUUUGCCUCACUUCUGUGUCCGCCAAUGCGAAAUGAAAGGGCAAGUUUGCUCCUCAGAAGAUUCCACUGCAGCUGCCUUUCAAUGCGAGAACCAGAACGAACAUAUUCCCAACACUUCAGAGAAAAAUUGUGAGUAUAAGAUGCCCUCAUACUUGAUCUUUGGAGUUGGGGUUACAGUGCCUGCAAUCAAGGAAACGCGAUUUUAUAGGAAAUUAAUUCCCUGAAAAUCUGAUUAUGCUAACCAUCUUAUCUUCCUUGCGUGAGUCUUCAAUAUUUCUAUCCCUAAUUUCACUUGUUUGGUUUAAUCUUGCAGGGCUUUGGAAGUUUAUAACAAAUAAUUUAUUGCUACCCUUCUUUAGUAAGGCUUCAACUAAAAUUUUCUUUGAAAUCAAAUCUUUAUUUUAUUCAUUUUUCCUAUUUUUUUUACAAAAUUUCCUAAUUCAUUGUUAACAGGGGGGUUACUUUCUCCCUACACCUUAAAAUUUCGAGGUAAGGAUGCUUCUUGCAAUUAUUAUUUUCUUAUGAGAAUAAGAUAAAAGAUUUAUUUAGAGUUCUUUCAUCUUAAUUAAUCUCUUCUUUUCUUGCUUCUCAAAAAUUUAAAAUUUAGGUGAUCAAGGGCAUUCUUCCUUGUGACUAACAUGGCACGGAUGGUUUGAUGUAGGACUUCAAAAAGAACUUGGUAAUUGCGGACUUUACUAUCCCUGCAACACCUCGAUGAUUGGUAAGGCUUUCUUCACUUACAUGUCUCCUCUUCUAAUGUUAUUUAUGUCUCUCACUUAUAUUGGUCCAUAUUUUUAAUUUGUUACAUCUCUUCCUUACUAGGCGGCUGGAUACUGCGUAUUAUUGGUAAGCCUCCUAAAUUCCAACUACUAAUUUUUUGUAAAAACAAUAUUGUAAAGAGUUGAUAUGAAAAUUCUUGGAAUUCUUGCAUUUUGAAGGUUGUGCAGUGAACUUCAAAUUGAUUUUGCUUUGUUUGACUGUACAAAGCAAAAUCAAUUUAGAUGUAAUUCAAAAUUUUCUCCCAAAUUUAAAUGUAAUUCAACUCCACUAACAUGUAAAGAAGUCAAAACAAUGGAAUUGAAACUAGGGUCUUCUUAUCCAAGGCCCCAACACUUUUGUCAAAUUGCUCCCCAAGCAACAGUACACUAUAAAGUGAUUGUUAAAGUAGUUAUUUCAUAUGGCUCUCUAAAAACACAACAACUUAGUGUUUUACUUUAUAUGAAGGUAGAAUAUUUUUUUCUACCAUCUAUAUUUGUUGGAUUUAAUUUUGUUUUUGAUAUCUUGUUCCUUUUUCUUAAAAUAUUCAUUUUUUUUACAUUUGAUUUGUGUUUAGUCAUAGGAAGGACUAUGCUCGGGAUGUUGUGCCUAUUCGCCUAUUUGAUUUACAAGUUCCACCGGAGACAUCCAUCAUUAGAUGAUAGUAUUGAAGAAUUCUUACGGAGUCAAAAAAAUCUCCAACCCAUCAAGUACUUGUAUUCAGACAUAAAGAAGAUGACUCAUAACUUUGCGAAUAAAUUAGGUCAAGGAGGUUUUGGCUCUGUAUAUAAAGGAAAACUUCAAAGUGGUCGCAUUGUAGCUGUGAAAGUGCUAGUCAUGUCAAAAGCUAAUGGACAAGAUUUCAUCAAUGAGGUUGCAACAAUAGGAAGAAUUCACCAUGUUAAUGUGGUGAGACUUGUAGGCUUUUGUGUACAGGGAUCAAAAUGGGCACUUAUAUAUGACUUCAUGCCCAAUGGUUCUCUUGAUAAGUUUAUUUUUCUUAAAGAAGAAAAUAACACUUUUUUGAGCUGGGAAAGGUUGUAUAAGGUUGCACUUGGAGUGGGGCGUGGGAUUGAAUACUUACAUCAAGGUUGUGACAUGCAAAUUCUACAUUUUGAUAUCAAGCCACACAAUAUUCUUCUUGAUGAAGACUUUACACCAAAAGUUUCAGAUUUUGGCCUUGCAAAAUUGUAUUCAACGGAUGAAAGUAUGGUGUCUCUCACUGCUGCACGAGGAACAUUGGGAUAUAUUGCUCCAGAAUUGUUCUAUAAAAAUAUUGGAGGUGUCUCAUACAAAGCUGAUGUUUAUAGUUUUGGAAUGUUGUUAAUGGAGAUGGUGGGGAGAAGAAAGAAUGUGAAUGCAAAUGCAGCGCACUCGAGUCAAAUAUAUUUUCCAUCAUGGAUUUAUGACAGAUAUGAUCAAGGGGAUAACAUAGACUUGGGAGAUGCCACUGAAGAUGAAAAGAAGCUUGUUAGGAAAAUGGUGAUAGUUGCACUAUGGUGUAUACAGAUGAAGCCCAUAGACCGUCCUUCAAUGAGCAAAGCUUUAGAGAUGUUGGAAGGAGAGGUUGAGCUAUUAGAAAUGCCUUCGAAGCCUACUCUAUACUCUGAGGAAAUGUUAGUUGAGGAUCAUAUGAGCAAUCCAAUAGAAGCACCAAUUUCCUUGUGCAAUUCCAUGGGUACAAUUACAUUAGAUGGAAGGUAGCAUAACAUUUUUCCACUUGCAUGCUAUCUCCUAUGAUAUCAUAUGUUUGUAAUUUGGAUUAGAUGUAUGGGUUAUAACUCCUCUUGCAAGGUCCAUAUAAUGUAAUAUUAUCUUGAGGCAUUGGCAUGGUACCCUAGCAAGGUACCCUAGCAACAAGCAUAUAAACAUGUAAUAAUUAUUACCUAUGUUCUAAAUGAUUCAAAUAGCACCAAAUAGGAAUAUCAAUUAAUGUUUUAAGGCCUAGUUCCAUAGUACUCAAAUGAUUAUUGUUGUAUUGCAUAGCCUCACAUGACUUAAAUAACACCAAAUAUAUAUAAUAGAAAACAAAGUAAACUAACUCUAAAUAGAAAGAAAAGCAAUAAGAUUAAUAAAGAUAAAAGAAAGGACAUAAUAUUUAUGAUGUACCAUAAGAGUGUCUUACCUAUGUCCUUGGGAAAUAGCAAUCAAUUCAUUAACUUUUAAAUUAGAAAAUUACAAAAUUGGAAGAAUAUCGGACUAGGAGGCUCUUACUUGGCAAAGAGCUUUCUUUAUACUAAUAUUGGCUAAAGCCACUAAGAUAGCUAAAAGGACAUGGGCUUAUAUAUAAGCCUCCAAGCAUUGACCAUACCAAUUCAUAAUCCAUGUGGGACAAGGAAUCCCUAAACUAACGAAUACUAAUUACACCAAAAACCAACAAAUCUCAACCUUGGAAAAUUAAUACUCCACUACCAACUCCCAAAAUUCAAAUAUUCUCUAACAAAUGAACUUUAAAUGCAUCUCUAGAAACCAUAUACCCAGAAUUUUCAAACUAGUAUGAUAUUAACCAAGCCCAAAUAGUAAGAGGGAGCACUACAGGAAUAAUGCCUUAUAGCAGCAGCUAGUGACCCUCACUAGAGGUCAGAAAUGGUGUGCCUACAAAUUAUGGUUGCACACCAAGCUGACCGCUACAUGGUGUAGCCAUAGGUGGUGCAACAAUUUCUUAUAGUUGCAGUUGUGAAAGUGACCGUAAACACAAGUCAAAGUAAUAGUAGCAACCACAGUAAAGUGUAGCAAAUGGUUCUUACAACUGCAUCUUGUUUUUGGCCCCCGCAAAAUGGCAUAUAGUUGCAUUUUGGAGUUGGCCACAGCUAUAAGUUAUCAUUAUUAAUUUUUUGUGACGCUCAUUUGUGAGGCUCCCCAUUAAAUCCUUCAAAACACUAUAAAAAUGGUGUGGAUCAGAAACAUUUUUCUUCUGAGAAUUUGAGUAAGCAUAAUCUUUCUUUUGAUAUUACAUGCAAUUUCAUGCUGCAAUAGCAGCUUGACCUUAUCCCAACCACCUCAUAACUGAAUGGCAAUUUUUUCUGGAUCUCUUUCAACACCAAUAGCAAGUGUAGAUUGGGUAAACAGAAAAAGAAAAAGGCUAACCCCUUCAAGAUUGACACAAAAGCUUCACGGUAAUAUUCCAAAAUUUGGAGAAAUACAAAACUCAUAGGUCAACAAAAAUCCUUCUCCUGAACAUGAUAUCUAUUAUAAACCUUUUUUCCGGCAAAAAAAAUAAUAGAAUCAUACAAUGGAUAUAUACAAAUGGUGAAUCCCAAUUAGCAUCUACGAAACAAACCUAUAGGAACACAACAGAGAUUUUUUAGAUCAACAUAUUGAGAAAAUGACUUGACACUCAAAAAGAAAGGCUAAGAAGCUCUGAGAUUUGAUGUUUUGUUAAUAGAGAUCCAUGAGGACAUAGAACAACAUAUUUAAAUAGUUAUUUUUUCUAUGAAUAAGAAAAAAGAUUACAUGAGUAACAGCACACCAAUGCUUAUUUGAAUAAAGUGUCAUUCAUGGACAAUAACUAAAGAAACCAACUGGGACUAGGGGGCGAGGCCAUGAUAUUAUCAAUUACGUUACACUAGGUAGGCUAUAAUUACCAUUGAGAGUAGAAUGAUAUAUUCACUUCUCAGCAACUCCAAUAUCUGAUAGUAUCAUAUUACCCUACAGGCAGAAUACAAACAACGGAUGAAAUGUGAGUUGCAACAAUCAGGCAAUCAAAAUCACAUUUUGAACAAUAUAGGAACCCAACAUCCAAACAAAAUAGUAUCAACAAGAAACUGCUAUUCCUUUCAUGAUACAAGGUAUUUUUGCCUCCAUAAAUUAGUAAUUACUUCAUACGGAGUAAAUUUAAGGGUACAACAGACACCACCGCCUCAUAAUUUAAGAACCAAACCAUCAAGAAGGCUAUGUUGAAAUCUAAUCACCACAUCCAAAUAGGUAUUUCUCUGGUCUCAACAAGUGACACAAGGAAAUUUUUGUAUCUAGUGAAUACCUUGGACUACAUCUAGUACAAGGUUCUGUUUUUAUCUUGUAAACAUAUAUAUACAUCCAAACAUGUAUACACACACACGUGUAUGCACUCUGAAGUUCCCUAGAAAUUAUAAGUAGAUUUUGUAGGUACAUGGCUGUGACCAAUUCUUGUCCUAGCUUGUAGUUCUAGGUUAGCCCAAGGUGUACCUUUUCCAAAUUUUCUCUUUAUGAUGUUGCUUUAUCCCUCUAGGGAUAUAUUGUUAAUGGCCACAACCUCAGCAAUCUUUUUCAUGUUUCCAUGCAUGGAUCAGUUUAAAAAGGAAAAACACAUGAUUUCCAGAGUUUGAACUUCCAUUAUUUUACUAUAGGUACAAGGUUAACAUUUUUUGGUAUUCAUGCCCCAGUUUAGUCAUUUCCAUACUGACAUGUGUUAAUGGUGUUUUCUUACAUGCUUAUUGAUGAAAUCCUCCCUUCCCAAGUCCACAAUUCAUUCUAAGUUUAUCAAAAGACAUCAAGGCAUCAUAGAAAAUCAACAAUUCUAAUAUUGUAACAUCUCUAACAUUUGUAGAAAACAUAAGAUUCCAUAUUUAAUCUCUAGAUUGUAAAUUAAGGUUCAAAACUCAAAAGCACAUUCAUAUAGACACAAACCUCACUAGCCAUUAGCUUUCGGACAUUAUUAGCAUAUAAUUUUCCCAUAUAUUACAAAUGAGCUUAAUUUGAGAGUUAUACCCUGGCAAUGAGAGAACCUGCUUUGGGCAACAAUUCAAAUCAUGACAGAAUUUUUUAGUCUCCAUCUCAUCCUUGUAGCAACAUGUACCUCACUCAUGUCAUUCCUUUUGUGUGGAGCUACGAUUAUCUUACCAAUAACAUGCAAAGUAGACAAUAAGACUGAACAAGAAAUCAAAAUUCCUUAAGUUUAGAAUCUUAUACUGUAAGGAGAGUGGAACUAUGAGUGUCCAAGUGUGGUUGCUUGUCAAGAGUUGAAAAUUUGGAUGAUUAUUUGGAGGUUCUAUUCAAAUUCUUGGGCAGAAUGAUUAGAGAAUGAAAAAUGAUUAAGAAAUUUGGACAACAAUAGAGCAAGUAAGAAAAAUUCAGAUCUGAAAUGAAGCAUGAAAUAGACUAAGAAUGAUAAUUAGUUCAUUUGUAGCCCUUGUAAGAAGAUAACUAAGUCUCCAAGUGUAUUAUUACUUUCCCAAAGAUUUUGGCCAACCUUUAAAUUUGUAAAUUAAGUUUGAAGUUUUUAUUGAUCAACAAAAACUGAUUGUCUUAAUAUCAGAAACAAAAGAAGGUUGAGGCUACAACUAUUAUUACUAGCAAAUAAUUAUCAUUUUGCAAGUCUUCUAAUUUAUUUUAAAUGCUUCAAACUUCACCUACUUAGACCUAUCCAACAACUUCUUCAGCAGUCAAGCCAAGAACUUAGCCUUUAAGAUCAAUAAAAAUAAACAUUCCACAAAAGAACAUAGUUUUUUUCAUUUCUUUUGACAAAUGUAAAAUUUUCGUAAUUUGAAAAUUUUCACCUUAAGCUUAAUUUGCUGAUUAUUUGACUUGGAUAGCUACUUAUAAGUACAAACCAUCUUUAAAGGAUAAAUUACUGAACUGCUUAGGCCUGAAACAUGUAAUAAACACCUAAUUUAAAAAACCAAAAUAUAAAGAUUGUUUUUAGUAUAAUAAAAUAUCUGGUUGCUUUAUAAUAAAAAUAUAAAGCAAUGUCUACUGGUAUUUUUCAAUUUGUCAAAAUAGGGAAUGCAGACAUAAUAAUAAUAGAAUUUAAGAGAUAACAAACUAGUGAUGCAACAUAAUGAACCUAUUAACUUGUAUUUUAAAAGAGAACCUUAGAAAGGCCAUACUUAGGACUCUAAAAUUUUCAUUCUACUUAUGAUCUAACCAAGGAGGAUUUUGGAAAGAUCAUAACCUCAGAGAAAGGCAUCAGACUACUACCUGCAUGGAAAUUUGAACAGGAUUUCAGAUUCAAAUCAUUGAGUUUAGGGCAGUCUAAAUACAAAGCUAGCAAGUAAAUUCACAAGUUCAACAUUUGAAUACCAAAAUUGACUCAAGAAGAUGCUCCUUAUACUUAAUUAUCAUUUUAGGAUACUUCAAUUAUGUGUAUACAAGAAAAAAAAGUAUUUUCUGUUUCACUCAUUUUUUCAUUUGUUUCUUAGAAAAAACUUAAUUUCUUAAGCAUUUCUUUUCACAUAAAACUUUAUAUUAUAAAAACUAUUACUUGUUAUUUAUUACCAUUAUUAUUGUAAUAAUUCAUACAAUGAUCAAAAGAAAGAAAGAAAGAAAGAAAGAAACGAAAAAUCAUUGCAUGAUAAAAUUGCUCUAUAGAACAGAUUAAGUUAAUAAACAAAUUCAUUUUUUAAAUUUUCUUAUGCUAAUUGUAAGUAAUACACUUUCAUAGCAAUCACGUUUAGCUUUAGCAUAUUCAAUAUCAAAAAUGAAAAAAAAGGAACAAAAAGGAAAAAAAAAUUAAGUUUCUUCCAGAACAGUAAACUGAUAUCAAAUUGUCCACCUUUGUAUGAUGAGGUUGGAGAGAUGGCAACCUCAAUUGCUAAACAAUUGGCAAUUGGCUGAUGUUAGCAAAUAGCUAAACAAGAAGCUUAAUAAUAAACCCCUUUUAGAUAUAUGGCUAGAGGGACUAGUAAGAUGAAAUCAUUAAAUGAAUCUUUGUUUCUUUGAUGGGGAUUGCAUUUUUUUUUCUUUUUCUCUGAUGGAACUUUGAAGUUACAUUAUAUUUUAAGAAAACCCAAAAACAUGAAAAACUGGAAAAAAAAAAAAAAAAAAACACUAGACAAGACUCCUAGCACCCAAAAAUGAAGGUACAUUAAAGUAAAAGUAAAAAAAAAAAAUUUAGUUAUCAUUUCUUUGAUUAAAUGAUUUGUAACUUGAAAAACCAAAAAGGAACAAAGAAAAAAAGAAAGCAAAAAAGAGAAUGAUAAACCAAAAGAAAAAAAGAUGAACCCUAAAUAGUUAGUGUAGAUACAUUGAAGCCUCUUCCACCAAAUCAAUUAGGUGAAAUAUGGGUUCGAGGGCCAAACAUGAUGCAGGGCAAAGUUUGAUCAAAAGUUUGUGUUAGUUCCUCUUCGCAACAAUUUCUAACAGCAAGUGACCUUAUUUGAAUCUCCCAAUUAAUUAGGUUCCAUUCAAAUUGAACCAUCUCAAUUCAUUUAGAAAGGAAACAUGUUGGUUAAGACAUCAAUUUUGGUUAAAAUCAAAUUAUUAAUGUUUUAAUUUUGCCUUGUAUUGACUUGUGAAGCCAAACAAUGUAUUCCUAAUCAAACUGCUUAAUCUCACAAGUGGUUUGCCUUGGCUGUGGGACCUCCUAAGCUAACCCUCAUCUUGCUAACAUCUGAUUUGCCAAAUUAGGCGGAUUAGACCUGUCAUGUUAUAACAUAUAACUGAACACCUAAGAUUCAAAGUUUGAUUCUUUCAAUUGGUCUUUCAAUUAGACCUCUAUGACAUAUGUGAAAUAUAAAUCUGCUUUUGGAUUUUGUAUCUCUUUGUACCAUUGAGUUUCAAAUAUUCUACAUUAAGGAAAAGGGGUGCUCAAUAAAAGAGAAUGAAAGAAUGGUAAGAUUUUCAUUCUCAGAUAUUUAUAAGCCAAUCUUGGCUAUUAUACCUUGAUCUGCAGCUAACUCUGUGGCCAAUUUGGUUGGAGCUAACUCUCUCAGGAUGUGAAUUGCCUGAGAUAUGGUGGCCUCAAAUGAAAACAGAAGGGAAAGGGAAAAACCAACCAGAAAAAAAAAAGGAAUUUGAUAAUUAGUAAAUUGGCAGGAAGAAAAAGCAAAUGCUCAACCUAGUAGAUAAAAUUAGUAAAGUGUCUCUCCUGUAAGAAUCAGAAUUUCCACUCAAAGAACAAAUAUCAAGCUUAUGUCAAUCAGCUGAAUUAAAAAUGUACAAAUGAGCCUAAAAAAUCAAUUCCUGAUUUUUAAGAAGUUAGAAAAUCACAAAAUUGCAUUUGCCCCAUACAUGAGAUAACAGGAUUUGUAUAGAAGUAAAAUAAUGGCUGGUGAAAAACAAAUGUUGAAGUCCAUUUAAGAUUACCACUUUAAUCCUAAGAAAUGAAAAUUGAGGGAGGUAAAUUAGGAAGCCGUUUCCCUCCUACAAAAUUGCAUAAACCCCAAAACCUAUCAAAUGUUUCUCCUGAAUAGCAAUUAUACAUGAGAUAAAUAUAGUUAAAUGACAUGAUUUUCAACAUCUGAAUUUUCAGAUUUUUGACAAAAUGCUUCUAGUCCAUACCCAUUAAUUUCAAUAAACUUAAUAUUCAUUUGUCCCCUUCUUCUUAGUGUUUACAUGAAGAACAAAAUUAGUCCAAGGGGGUUACUACUUUGAUGGAUUCAAAAUAAAAUAAAAAAAAAAUAGAUAAAAAAAAAAAAAAAAAAAAGAAACAAGAUUAAGAUGAGUCAAAAGUGUAGCAUCCUAACUAGGGUGCAAAAUGAAGAGCUUUGCUCUAUCCGAAGCUUCCAUAGCCUUUGAUUUCAUUAGGUGCAGACAAGGCACUAUAAUAAUAGCAGACUGCAUUGAAUUUCAUAUCACUAAAAUUUUCAACUUCAUCUUAUGCACGGAAGACAAAAAAACACAAAAGAGAAGGGACACGAGCAAUCAUUGCUUCCAAGCUGAGCUUCGAUGCACAUGAAAAUGGAAAGAAGAAGAAGAGUGCAAAGAUGAUGUAUGUGAAAGUAUGGUGAGGGAUUGAUGCUCAUAAUAAUUAGUAAAUAUAUACCAGGGAAUCCAAACACAAACCCUAACCCUAACCCUAACCAGAAAAAGAGAGAUGGGAGGAACUAGAAGUGAUGAAAAGAAACCUAAUUUGAAAUCAAAGAAAGAAAGAAAGGAAUAAUAGUGUGAAGCCGUGGAAGGAAUCGAAAGAAUACCUGGAAGAUGUGGGCGAUGAAGUGGCUAAAGAAAUUGGUCGUUGAGCGAGUUGGUCAUUGAUCUAAGCCCCCUCAGUGAUGAGGAUGUCAAUGACAACAACAAUCUAGUCAGAGAAAUAUACAGUGAUGAGGAUGGGAAUUAUGGCUUUGGGAGAAGAGUUCAAUGGUCUCUAAUGGUGGCUAAGAAGAGUGAACGAUAAAAGACAUGGCUCUCAGUGGGUUCAGCAGUCUAAAUUGGGCAGGAGAGAUAGUGGUUAUAUUGUGGCUCUAUGGUCGUGGACAAGCCAUGUGAUUGUGCCUAUUGGGCCAUAUAUUGCUAUAAGAGCUUUUAUAGCAGCAACCCAACCCAUGUGGUUGUGCCUAUUGGGCCAUACAUUGCUAUAAGAGGUUUUAUAGCAGCAACCCAUUCCUUCCCUAGCUAUAUGAGCUUUUAUAGUAGCGAUCCAUUCCUCCCUCAGCCAUAAUGAUGCGGGAAUUUAUAAUGUUUUUUUUUUUUUGCUCAAUUUACCAUUUGACAACAUACAUGGAACUUUUUCUGAGAAAAUUCCAUUCAUAUGCUCUACUACCCUAUUUUUCUUUUUAUAAAACAAGAAAAUGAAAGACUUGUUUGAAAGCUAUUUUUUUAAAUUGAGUAUUUCUCUAAUAACUUAAUGUUGUAGAGUUAAGUUGUCUUUUUAAUUAUUUUUAAGUUUAAAAUAAGAAAUUAACAUUCAUAGCCAUUGGUAUUGUAUUUUGUUCUUUUUUCUUGAGUUAAUAUAAAUAUCAUUUGUAAAUAUAAAAAAAUUAAUUAUCAAAAUUUAUCUAAAUUUAAACAAAAUUACUACAAAUACUUUUUAUUUUUGUACAUAGAUUUCAACAACCAAUAUUUAUCUAAUUUCAGAUAUUUUAAUCCUUAAUAUAUGAAACUACCUAGAGAAGAAUGAACAAGUGGUCUACUUGAUUAUCCCCAACAUUAAAUUUCUAUUUUAUCUAUAAAUUCAAUUAAUAUUCCAAUAUCAACAAUGGUCAAGUCUUCAUCAAUCUCAUGCACAAGAUUUCUAAUUGCACAAAUAGACAUAGUAAUAAUAGCGAUUCAUAUAAACAAAAAGCUUUAGCCCAAAUAGUUUGUGUUGACCAUAAAGUUGCCUCCUCGACCAAAUUGGGCUCUGAUGAUGCCAGGCCUCAAACGUGUUGGGCUAGCCCAAAUCCAAGCUAGCUAGCCCUGCCCUGCCAGCUAGCCCAUGGGUCUACUGGGCCUUUAAGGAUCAAAUACUGCAUAUUAAUUCUAGAGACCCUGUCUUUAAAAACUAAAAAUCUGGUCUGCAAACGGAGCCCUUUCAGGAAAGGCAGACCCUAAAAGUAAGAAAACAGGAAGCAACUGGACAAUUGUUAUUGUUUCUUUUUUUGUGGGAAGGAUGGGGUUGGGAAUUUCCGUCCCCCUCUUUUGCUCAUUUCUACUGUUGGAAUGCUUAUGCUUCAGUUACAAGUCAUAGUUUAUUUUCUAUGAUGACCAAUUAGUAUAUAUGAGGAAUUUUUAAGAAAAACAUUAUUUCAUGUGCUCAAUUUCUUCUGAGGUUUUUGGAUAAAAACUGAAGUUAGAAACUCCUAAAACUAAAGCAAUAUUUAGUUCUUAGAAAAUUUGAGAGAACACAAUGAAAAGAAAAUAGAGAAAAAAAUUAAAAAAUAAAUUUAAAAUUAAUAAAUUAUAUUUAUAUGUUAUUUUAAACUCAUUUUACACAUUUUUCCUUUCCUACAUGAAGAUGAAGACAUGAUAUUCGGGAUUUAACCUUUGAAUAUAAUUUUUGAUAAAUUUAGCUUAAUUCCCUGCUAUUCUUUUCCUACAAACUAGCGGCAUUACAUGCAUCAUCAAACGUAGUGCUUCAUUUUUCAAUUUGGUGGCCUUUAUGGUCAGUUAAGCAAGACAAAAGCAAAAAAAAAAUUCCUUCUCCCUUUCUAGAAAUACACUACCUACUUUUCCAUAAAGAUGAAGCUGAGUUGAGAAGGUCAUGACCUCUUCCCUCAUCCAGCCUAUUCCACCUUGCUCAUUGUAAAAGAAUUAAAGUCCUUCAAAUGCAAAAAAAAACCUUCAAAAGAAUUGACUUACUGGAUAUGGAGAUAAAGAAUUUGCAGUAGGGUAAAGAAGAAGAAGAAGAAGAAGAAGAAGAAAGAAUGAUAAUUUAUAGUUUUCAUUACUACCUUAAUAAUUUUCAACUAGAAAUUUUUUAAAAGAACUAAGAAAACGUUCCAAAGUUUUUUUCAUUAUUAUAUAAAUAAUUUUUCAUAUAUUAUUAAAGAAUAAGGGAUAAACCCUCAUUUUACAUUAAUAGCUUAAAAAGCUAAAAUUUAUCAAAUAAUUUUUUUUUAAAAUCCUACAAUUCUAAAUUUGUUUUAAUUUAGUCUUAAUUCUUUAGAAUUUAUAUUUUAAUUUUGUGUCACUUUUUUCAUUGAAGAAGUGUAUGUUUUGUUUGGUAUAUCUCAAAGUAAUUAUUAUUUUUGUUUAAAUUAUUGUUAUAUUUAUGGAAAACAUAAAUAAGGACAUGAAAGUUGUAAGAAGAAAAUGGAAGAAAAAUAAACAAAUAAACUUACAAUAAAAUAAAUUUAAGUAAAGAUUUAAUAGAUGAUAAAGAAGAAUUAAUUUAUCAAAUAAAAUUAGAAAUUCUGAAAUAAUGGAACAAAAAAAUUUAAUAACAAAAAUAGUUAUAAUGAUUGCUAUGAUUAUAAUAUAAUUAAUUACUACAGACAAAAAAAAUUAGAAAAACACAAAACAAGGAAAAUAAUUAUCUUAUUGGGCUGCCAUGAUCAAAUUAGGUCUGUAUCAGGCCUAACCCAGCCUGACUAGCAUAUGAUCCAAGCUCUGCCUAUGGACCUACCAUUGGGCUUGGCCCAGUAAAACAAAGUAGAUUGUUCCAUUAAUUUGAUGUUCAGGCCUGAAUGCAGUUAAUCUUAAACACAUGGAGGAACCCUCAGACCUCUCGGAUAAGACAAGCUUGUUUGCAUCAAGGUUCUCAGCCACUGGGCUUUUUGUUGUUUAGGUUAAACAAUAUAUACCAUAUAUUGAGAGAGUUUGAGUCUAUUAUUAUUAUUAUUAUUAUUAUUAUUACAUAAUCUAUUGAGUCCAUAUUUUUUUCCUUUCUCAAUGAUUACUACAUGGUCACAUAUCAUAUGGUUCAUUUCUCCCACAAUCUAAUAUUUUUCGUGGUCUAGUACAUAUGGUCCAUUGGUAAUUUGUAUUGAUAAAGUUCAAGAUCAAGCAUUCACCUGACUCUCUAACUCCUUUAUUGUUAGGAUACCUGCCCUAUCUUCACCAUUGAUAUGGUGUCAUAACCAAAGUGGUACUUAGCUAGCAGCAAAUCCAGUGUUUCAUGCAAGGAGUAAACACAUUGAAAUCGAUCUCCAUUUUAUUCGAUGCAAAGUUCUCCAACAAGCCAUCACCAUUCAGUAUAAUUUAGUCAUUACAUAACUAAUUAGGCUUACUUCUCAGUCCAAUAAAAAAGUGGUAAAUGCAAAAAAAGAAAAAAAAAAAAAGAAGAAGAAAAAAGAAACAAAAGAAACUCUAUAUGGGUGUAGUGGAUGGGACUCUUAUUUUCAAGUUUCCUAGAUCUAAUUCUAUUACUAUUUCGUGCAAUACUUUCUAUCUUGAAUGUGAUGGACAUUAGUUGCUCUUACUUGAUUGAAAGGUGAUCUAUAGAGUUGUGUGUAGCUGAACUAUAAAUUGGGUUGCAAGAAUAUUCUUGGACAUAUUCAUUAAAAUUUAAUACACAAGAAAUACAUUACAUGGGAAUAAGAACUUCUGGAAUCUAACAUCAAUUGAGCCACUGGUAUAAUCAUUUUAUACAAUCAUAUGUUCAAUUAACAGAAAUAUAAAGAAAGAUGCUAUGAUGAUGAACAACUACAAUAUGAAUUUUUAUUAAACUAUACAUUCAUAAUAAGUUGAACAUAUAGACAAUUAUUUUUACUCUAGUUCUGAAAUUAUUGACAACUCUUGUUGAAAAACUCUACCUGGCUUGCUCAAGUUUGUUGGAACUGUUGAAGCAAAAGGGUUAGGAGGCAUGGUUAACUUGUCUCCUUCUCCUUCCAACAUUUGAACCACAAUUUUCAUGGAAGGACGAUCCACUGGACACCACUGAAUACAUGAAAGUCCCACAAUUGCUAAUUUCUUUGCAAUCUCAACAUCUCCUUCUUCUUCAAUUCGAAUAUGCAAUUCUUCCCCUAUAUCCAAAUGAUUAUAAAUCCAUUCUGGGAAAUAUAAUUGGGUAGUACUCUCCACACUAACAUCAAUGUUCUUUCUUCCUCCAACCAUUUCAAGUAACAACAUUCCAAAACUAUAAACAUCUGACUUAUAAGACACAUUCCCAAAAUUCCUAGAUAACACUUCUGGAGCGAUAUAGCCCAUUGUUCCCCUUACAAUUGUCAUAGAGACUGCACUUUGUUCCUUGGAGCACAAUUUGGCUAAACCAAAGUCAGAAAUCUUUGGAUUAAAGUUGUGGUCAAGUAAAAUAUUAUGAGGUUUGAUAUCAAAAUGAAGGAUUCUUUGAUCACAACCUUGAUGAAGAUACUCAAUUCCUUUUGCUAUACCUAUAGCAAUUUCUUGAAGUUUCUUCCAACUAAGUGAAUAGUUCUUGACAACUUUUGAAAAUAUGAACUUCUCCAAUGACUCAUUUGGUAAGUACUCAUAAAUUAGAGCUCGUUUAAAUCUAUCAGCACAAAAUCCAACUAAACGAACUAUAUUAACAUGGUGGAUUGUACCCAUUGUUGCUACUUCAUUAAUGAACUCUUCCCCAUUUCCUUGAGAAUUGUUAAGGAUUUUUACUGCAACAAAAACUUCAUCUGAAAGCUUUCCUUUAUACACGGUUCCAUAUCCUUCUUCCCCUAAUUUAUCUUUGAAUUGACUUGCAAUCCUUUUAAUAUCAGCAUAGGAGUAUCUUGAGGGCUUGAGAGCUUCAUAGUCUUCUAGAAACUUUUUAACCUUUACUCUAUUAUCUCUUUCUACUUUAUUUGAGCUAUAGGCACGAUAAGGCACAACAAUUACUAACAUGAGAAGAAAGAAACCAAAGAUUGCACUUGCAUAAAUAAAAAGAAGAAAACUUAAACUUUUUAUUUAAAUAAAUAGGUAAAAUAACCAAAUUAAGAAUCUUUAUCUCUAUAAUAAAAUAUGUAUAAAUAGAAUAUUACCUGUCACAAUUAUUUUCUUCGAUACACCUAUAAAAAAUUAAGAAAAAAAAUGUAAUUAGCUUGUUAUGCUCUUGGAAUUAAUAAAAACAUGCUAAAUUACAUGUUCAUGUGAUAUGAUUCUAAUCUAAUUAAUUUUAUUCUAGGCUUCAACCUUAUCUUUUUGGGUCCCUUUCUUGUAUUCUAUGGUUCAUUUUUGAGGCAGUACCAAUUCUGCUACUAACUCUAUCCUAACUUGUAGAGGAAAUUAAAACAUACCCUUCUAAUCCCUAUUAUGUAUCAUAGUUUUAUGUUUCAUAAUACCGUAUUGUCUUCAUGACUCCCUAAACACAAAUUCAUCCAAUUUUAUGACAAAAAUAAAAAUAAAAAUAAAAAUGAAACUCUAUGUAAAAGGAAUGUGAAGAAAUCUCUAUCCUUAUUCUAUACCAUUAUAUACAGUGAUCCAAUUGGUAGGUACGAUGACACUUGGCGAUUCGAUUGACCAUUAACAUCGAACUUCUCAUGUCAGGUAUAAGGGAAAAGUCAUCUAUGUGAAUAACCAUUAAAACAAGAAAAAUGAUGUUUAUGGAGUUUUUUACACAAUUGUAAUUAUUGAGAGUUGAAAUAAAGAUGAAUUACUUGGAAAAUUAAGGGUUAGGAUGGUCCACUUGGAUAUGAAAAAAAAAUUAAGAAAAUCAACAAUAUUCAACAAUCUUAGUAAUUUUUUGUUAUUAAAUAUUUCGUGAUCCAAAAGGAAUACUUGAAUAUCAAUUGUAUUACUUUGUAUUUUUAGGUUCACGUCCUUGGAAAAAUAAGAAGAAAAUAAAGAAAAAUAUUAAUUGUAAGUAGGUAGGAAAGAAUCCAUUAUAAAAGAACUUUUAACAUUUUUCUUUUAUUUCUUUAAUUUUCAAAAAACUAAAUCCAAAUAAACAUUUAACUCUUUGUUCAAUAAUUUCCCUUAAUUUUAUUGAGCGCUAAAAAUUCGAAGAAAGAAAAGAAAAGGCCUUAGUUUGGAUCCAUUAGUUUAGCUCGAUGUUUUGAGGUGAAAUGUAAGAAAAACAAUAUAUUACUUUACCCAAAAAUUCAUCUAACAGGAGUUUUAAAAUGUAAAAAAUUAUUUUCACUAAUUAUUUCAAAUUAUUUUUUCAGAUUUAGAGAUUAUUUUAUCCCUUGUAAUUGAAUUAUUCUCCUAUUUUUUAUUUUUCAGAUUUUCAAAAUCCCAAUAAAACGCAAAUUCAAUCAGCAGAAUUUAUCAGCUCAUAAAAAAUGGAGCAUUUGUAUAUUAAAUCAUAGUAGAGGAUAUGAGGUGAGCAUGAAAGAUGAAAAGAAGAUGAAUAGAAGAUGAAUGGGGAAUUAAGAUGCAUAGAGUCCCUUUACCUUUAAUACAUUCAGUUUCUCUGCUAUUACACUUCUUCAAUCUGCAUAUUUUUGACUUUGACCACUUUAAAGAAAACGCACUUCCAUUGAAUAUAUAAUCCCCAUAAUGUUGUUUACCUGGAGCUGAAGCGCUGUAAAGCCUGCGGCAAGAGGAUAGGUUCAAAUAUUGGACAAGUUCGGAGGACUCAACAGCAUAAACUAGGUUACCAGGGAUAGAAAGGCAAGGGAUGGACUGAAACAAAUUAUAUGGAUCUGUUUUAUCUGAGGAACAAUUGAAGAAGGUGACGAAGCCCUUCUCAAAUUUGAACGGGAAGGGGAAGGCAGCUAAAUUGAGAUUUCCAAGCUGUCUCGCAAGGCAAUUAUACGGGUCCUGGACAAAGAUUUCCCGGGAUUUGUAAGUUAUAUUCUUCACCAAGAGCUUUACCGAAACUGGCAGCUCUAGCAUGGUCUGAUUAUUCUCAGUGCAAGAUAACUCAAAUCCCGGGUAUCCACAGUGGCAUGGCUGGUCUUUUAGACGGAAAGGGAACUGGAUGAGUGGACCCUGGUCGCCACAACGAUGUGAUGCCAUGCACUCAUCUCGG